Molecule: long non-coding RNA, 49925 nt
Filed under: Brassica napus (rape)
Lineage: Eukaryota; Viridiplantae; Streptophyta; Magnoliopsida; Brassicales; Brassicaceae
Description: long non-coding RNA (BNAP_LNC007742)
Source: RNAcentral
CCCGAAGAAGCUCUCGAUUGUCUGAGAAAGAAACAGCUAUUCCGGAUCUCUCCUCUUCUGGUCCGUCUGGAUCUUCCCGCAAACGUAUCCGGAAACAACGCCGAAAGAUGACUCCGCCACCGUCUUCUCCGCCUGCUGCAUAUACAUCUACCGACGACGAGGUUGAAGCUUUUCAACUCAAAGAGCCACGCUAUCAAGCAAGCCGUGCGAUCUUCCAAGCACGAAAUCAAGAAAACCCCGAACUACUUCGUUCCCACAUCACUCCGUUCUCGAGUCGUUUUGUCACCAGCAAUUCAGUUGAGAGGUAUGAAAAAUUGGCUUCACGUGAGUUUGUGAUUCAACAGAGGAUCGAUGUGACUGACAAGAACUUGCUCGAUGUGAAACGGGUGGUAGUUAGGUCAGGGUUGAUCUAUACUCUGAUUGAUAGUGACUUGUUUCAUCCAAAUGUUGUGAAAGAGUUUAUUGCCAAUUUGGGUGCGGCUGAGAAUAGAGGAGAUGGUGUUGCUGUGUUUCUUCGUGGGUCUAUGGUUGAAUUCUCGCCUAGCUUGAUUAAUGCUAUGUAUUUGAUCCCUGGCUUUGAAGAAGAUCCUGACUACUUGGCAGUAGACAUUGAUCGAGUGUGCUCGUUCCUGACGGAUAAUCGUGUGCGACGUUCUGAAGCCAUGAGCUCUAAGUAUCUGACCCCGACGAAUCAAGUCCUCUACAAGCUGGUGUGCUCAAAUUGGAUUCCCACCACCAACUACACGUCAAUGAACCAGGAACGACUCAAGUUUCUCUACAUGCUUCAUCAUCACAGGGGCUUUGACUUUGGUCAGAUGGUCUAUGAUCAAAUCAUCAGUUUUGCAGCUAACAUCAGCACUGACAGGUCUCGGAGAGUCAUUUUCCCUACAUUGAUUCAGCAAGUGAUUGACUAUCAACGGACAGUGCUGUCAUUUGAAGAUGAUGAAGAGUAUACCGGGUAUCCUAAGCUGGUGGUAAAAGACAUCAAGGCAGGCAGAGGCCAAGGGGCUAACUCUAGUGCCGCUGAUCUUCUGGCUGAUAUUGAGCGAACCAUAGCUGAUCUUAAAAGCAUUCGGAUUCGCUUGAGGAGUAAGGGAGUAGUACUUGUUGAAAUUCUUAAAUUUUCUGAGUCUCUAACCUUUUGUUUUUAUCUUAAUGUGCAUCUACUCAGGGGGAGAAUAUCCACAGCAUCCUCGUCGGACUCAACAGAAUGAGCAGGAAGAUGAAGUGGAACCGGACAGUGAAGAAAGUGAAAGUUUCUAAUGAGUGAAUCUGUUGUGUUUCAUUCUAUGCACCAUGUACUGAACCUUGAUGUUGCACUUUGCAUCGUACUCUUUUCCUUCUUUGCUUCUGUUUGUGUAUGGAUUUGAAAAACCUUAAUUUCUUAAGGUUGUGGUAUGAUGUUAGACUAAUCCUUAUGGUUGAUAUGGAAAAUAGUCGUGUGGUCUUGUGUGUUGAGCUUUGAUUGCAACAGGUUGAGUAGAUUGUCACAUUCAGAUAAAAAGGGGGAGAAUGUAAGCUCAAGAAUUAUGAGCUUGUUUGGUUUGUGCCUAGACUGUGUUACACUUGGUGAUGAGUGUGUAACAUAGUGCGGUAUAUUUGUUACGACGUGAUGACGUGUUACAAACUGAUGGAAGUAGAAGAUAUUGCUUUGGCGCGAAGCAAGGAAGAUCUUCUGUUGGCGAUAUUUUAGGAAGUAGAAUAUUGCCUUUUCACGUGUAUUUAACAAGUAAACCUAGAAGUGUUUUAGGUUACGCGUUAAGAUAGAAAAAAGCUAGAACAAGAGGUGUGUUCUUGUCAGCUUCGGAAAUCGAGUGAAGGGUAUUCAGCUCGAGUUUCUGUGAUUUAGAGAUUAGAAAUUGGUCCGUCGCUAGUCGUGUGUGACUGAGCAUAAACCGGAUUAAACAGAUCUAGGAGGAUUGUUUAAAAGAUUUCUAAUAUACAAGAAAGUGUUCUUGAGAGAUUUGUGUACGGUUCUAAUUGUAGUGUGUCUGAACUUUCACUUUAUAUAACUGCUCCUUGUUUAUUUCCUACUCUUUCGUUUAUAAGCAUUUCGACCACACUUAUAAAAUAUGAGCUUCUCCUUUGUCUUCAAAGUAAGACAAGAAGAUCAAAAACUAGGUGUAAUAGAUUUUUGCAUCUUUUCUUAUAUGGUUUCUCUGAUGUUAUCAUUUCUUAAAACAAAUGACUAACUUAGACACAAUCAUAGUGCAUCAUCAUCAUCUCUCUUUGACCUUUUCUUCUACUUCGUUUGCACUUUAUCAUAUAAGCUUCUCCUCUGUAUUCAUUCUUCACUUCACGAAUCAUCUUCUUCACUCUAGUUUCCAAUUUAUCUGGUGUAGAAUUAUGUAAAGGAUGAAUUUCCUAUAUUCUUCUCUCGGUAAAGUUUAAGUUUUGAGUCAUUGUAAUUGCUGGAAAAAUUGGUGACUUAUGUAAUCGUUUAAUGCAUCAGAUGGACGGUCAGUAAAUUUUAACAUCGUGUGCAUCAUAAUUCUGACCAUAAGAGCAUGUCAGAAACAUAACCAAUUGAGUCACAUGUUGCUGUCGUUGGGCACCUUGUUCUCAUGAGUUAUCGGUGGUUUUGCACUUUAUCAUCUUCAGCUUUUAGCUAGGUUCCAUGAGAUUGUUGAUUGUUCAUUUAUGUGAAUUUAUUUCUCGUGUUGCCAAUUAAGAAAAAAAAACAAAAGACUUCAUUGAUAUAUAUCGAUCUUGCCACCGACACUUUAAAGCAUUUUUUUGGCAAAGACACUUUAAAGCAUUUCCUUUUUACAAAAUGCACAAUGUUUGCUUGAGACUCAAGUCACCACGAAUAGCAAUAUACUACUCCGUGAGACAGAAAUCUCAUUCUCAUUCAUCUCUUUGUUCAUUCACUCCCGACAGCGGCAAAAGUGGAAUACGUCAAGGAGACAAGGUCACAAAUGGAAAUCCAAUUCAGUCAUCCAGAGACAGACUCAAUAGUUCAUUAAACCAGCUUUACACACAAAAAGAGGCGGUCUUGUCCCAGUAAGCAUUGACUUAGCACAUUCGCAUGCAUUAGGGUAUCGUCCAAACACUCCUUCCAUUUCGAGCGCUAUGUAACCACUGGUGGUAGGCUGGUAGCUCUAAGCCUCUAACAGGAAAGAUAGCUUUUUUAGGAUUCAGAAAUAUGGAAACGAACAAAACAAUAAUAAUAGGAUAGGCAUGUGUCAUAUAUAUUAUUUUUAGGCAUGUGUCAUAUAUUUUAGCUUUUUUAUUAUCAAACAAAAAAAAACUUAAGUCAGUGAUAAAUUUGACUAGGGUUAUUACAGUCGUAAAAGAAUUAUAACUACGGCAAUUUUAGCUGACAAAUGUUACUUUAUAAAGAAACACUGAAGUAGGAAAUAUGUUUUCGAUGAAAGAAAACAUAAGCUAUCAUUUUUAAUAGUUACAUAUAUCUAAAAAAUAAAAUUAUGGAAAUAAUUUUACAAAUUACCAUGUGAAAAUCGUGCUGGGUUACCUUAUUGAUGCGGGAUUAUAUACAUAACAAUAAGAAACUCAUCUUUUUCUUGUAUACAAGAAAGAAUCCUCUAGCUUUUUCUUUUAAAAAAAAAAUUAAAGAGCAUACUGCAACGCACAGAGAGGAUUUGAAUCUGGAUAUGAUUACGUAACAUGGUGCUUACUAAUAGAAAAAAUACAUUAAUUAGCCUAGAGACAGAUAUCCAACUUUCAUAUGUAUUAAUAUCCGUUUAUUUAUUUGAUUUUACCUUAUUUUGUUACAAUAAUUGGAAAAAAAAGAGCUAUUGCAGUAUUUUUCGACAGAUUUUAUUUAGGACGAAAAAAAACAAAGAUUAGUAAUGCGUCGAGGUUAAAGUUGCCUCCCCAAUUUAAAUCCCAAACAAAAGUUAAACCUAAAAUCUCUUUAAAGCUUUGAGAUAAUUUACUAUGAUAGUUACCCAACACCUACACACAAAGAAUCUGUUCUCCCUCAGUCACAUCAUUCUUUUCCCCAUCUUUACUCCACAAAGCACCUGCAUUUGUAUAUUAUAUGUUUCAUUGAUUCUUCAUGAAGCUGUCUUUACCCUUACUUGCAUCACAAGUAAAACUAAGAAACGAACAUGACCCAUCGCCGUCACGAACCACCAACUCUCGAAUCACCUGCGUCGUGUCUUCGCUUUUCCCUCCAUGCUCAUACGAAAAACCGCCCUGAAGAUUUUCAUAACUGAACCGGUUUAGGUUUACGAGAUUCUUAGGUUUAGUUUCGGUCGAUCCUCCACAUUGCCUAGGCUGUGUUUGGUAGAAGACUUUAGAGAGAACUGGUUCGCCGUCUUUCUCAUCCUCACUGUGGCCUAAGUGAUACUGAUGCAUCACCCAGUUCGUCUUCUCGGGCUUCUUCUGGCGACCGUAGUUCGUGUAGAGCACUAGGAUCUUCUUGAAACCAGCUUCUCCUGACUGAGACAAAACUGGUCGGGUCUUUCCCGUUUUGUGCCACCGUGUCUCGUGCCCUUCCUCGUCUGUGCUCACUUUUCUACGUUUUCGUGUUCCCGUCGUGUAAGCCUUUGACGGCCGGUGGAAGAAGUGUCGUACUUGCCCGUCUUUGCUUACUCCUACUUGGACAAGAUUGACAUAAGUUUAGCAUAUGUAAACCACUUUAAUCAUAGACAAAAAAUGGAGACUGUGUUAUAUUUUGUCACCAAUAUAUCACAUUACGUUACUAGAUUUGAUCAUUUGUUUUUGAGAUAAAUUAAUAAGUAAAGCGCAACAAAACAACUAUCAUCAAAUCUAAGAAAGAUUACCGACUAUCAUCAAAUCUAAGAAAGAUUGCCGUUUUUUCUGACAAAAUAUCCCUGUUUCUACAAUUUUAUUUUCUACAAAAUAAAUUUUCUACAAAAUAAAGCCCUAAUACAAAUGGGUAAACCCAAAAGAAUUUUUUGUAAGCUUGAAAAAUGAAAAUGGCGAGAAAAUUGCAUUAAUUUAAUUUUCAACAAACAUUAUUCUUUCUUCCAACUAUAUAUGUUAUGUAAUUUGAUAUAUUACAAAGAGAGCGUUUUGUUUUAUACCAGGAAGUUUCUCAGGAUGCGUAUAACAAAUUCCAUUCUCUCCUUCAAGUGUAGGUAUAAACUCAUCGAUCAACGGAUGAAGCUUCCGCUUAUCGGAUGAAACCUUCGCCUCCAAGUGCAUAAGGAUCUCUUUAUCCGACGGGUCGAAUUUGACUCCUGCCGGUAAACUUGGUAAAUCUUUGAUGCUGCCAACCUUAAAUUUCAUUUAUUUACAUUAAUAUGGGCGCCAAAAUACAAAGUACAGGAUAUAUGUAUAAUUUAAUUGACUAGAGAGGUUUAUAAGGUGAACCAUUCAUGGUUUAUAUAUAUAACCUGGUCGUCUUGUUGAUGCAUCUUAUGUCCACAAGAAGAACAAGUCAUAAUGGGAGAUUCAACGAUAAUCUUUGAAUCUGGACGGCUCGUGACACAUGAUUGAGAUUGAUCUUUGAGUUGAAUCGAUGGAUGAUCAAUAUUGGAUGCUCUUUCAAGAUUGAGGUCAUCUGAACCAUCACACCAGCUCAUCUUUUACUGAUCCCUCUCUCUUUCUCUCUAUAGAACAAACCCACCAAAAUCUAAACCUAAUUAAAAUUAGUACUACUAAAAGAUAGAGUCGAGAGAGGGAGGGAGAGAGACCAGCUAAAGAUGAGGUGAUAUAGAAAGAGAGGCAAGUGAUUGAUAAGUUUUCUUCCAAAAACUUAAUUGUAUAUAUUAAACUAAGUUAAUGGUUUUAAAAUAAUAUUUUGAGAGGUUGCUUGAACGUCACGUCUAUUAAUGGUUUAUGUUUAUACGUUUGCAACAAAAUUAAAUGCAAAUUUCUCAAAAUUUGAUUAUGACUAUUCUUGACCAUUUUAUUUCUAGUUUCCACAGUUGAUUUGUCGUGUAUUAUAUAUUAUUAGCCGGAUUCGUGUUAAAUAAUUAAAUGUGGCAUCCAACUACAAUUAGGAAGAAAACAAUUGUGCACGAAAAUAUUAUAUUAAAUCAGGAUAUGUAGUUUAUAUAUAUGCGAAUAAAAGACAGAAAGUAAUAUCUUCACAGACAAGAAAGAUAAUGAGAUGGAGUGUCGUUAUUGAAACUUGUUUUCUUUUUCUAACUUUUAGUUUUUGCCAGUUUUAAUAAUUUUUGUAGUCAGAAGACAGAAAGGUAUCACACCAUAAUAUAAUCUUUGAUUAAUCCUUUGACCAUUAAAAGAAAACUAGAUUUUGACCCGCACUUGGAAAGCGCGGGGUUGUUGGAUUAUAUUAUAAUACAAAAUUUUAUUAUAUCGAAAAACAUAAUUUUUAACAGCUAUAUAAUCUACAAAUUAGUUUAUUUGAGAUUUUAUAUGUACACUUUUACGUAAGUUUCUUUUCGACAUGAGAAUUAUAUUCGGAUCAAAAAAACAAACUAAACCGACCCAAAAUUAUAGGUUAGUUCAGGUCGAGAGAAGAUAACCUAUUGUGUUUUUUUUGACCCGCAGGUCUUUGUUUGAGUUCGGGUCCUACCCUAGACCCGAUCAUAAAUAUGUGUUUAUUAGGUAUAUUUGGAUAUUUUGAAUAUAUUUCCGGUAUUAUGGAUAUUGUUUUUAAGUUUUUGGUUUACGAUUAGAGUUUUGAUUUCAGGUAAAUUUUUCAAAUUAAAAAAGAAAUUGGGUAUUUUCCAGUUCAUCGUGUUAGAUUUUGAAUAGGAUUUUAAAAUUUUAGGUAUUUAAAUUUUUUUGGUAUUUGUUUGGAGUUUCAAAUACUUUUCGUGUUUCGAAUAUUUUUCAGAUUUUUUAUAUAUUUCGAAUUCUUUUAGGAUCUUAAAUACCCGAACAGAUGUGGAUCCAUUACGUCCAUAUCAGGUCCAACAACUUUUUGAUAUAGAUUUUUAACGUUAUUGUACAAAAACAUGGUUGAUGAAAUAUUUUUCUGAGUAAAGGUAUCAUAAGAAAUAAUAUUAAGAUCUGUUUAAAAUAUUGUAUGUUUAGAAUGAUUAAUGUAUUAUCAAAAAAAUAAUAAAUAGUUAUACAUAACUCCAACAACUUUUUUAUAUUAGAUUUUUUAAAACUUUUUCUCUUUUAAUCGUAUUGAUUCGUUUUAAGUGAAAAGUAUAUAAAAGUAUAAUAUCUAAACAAAUAAUUUUCAAAAUCUUGAAUAAUCAAUACUGAUAUCGUGAAGUCGGGUUAGCUUUAAUAGAACCAAUGAAUUUCUUUAUUUUUGUGAAGGUAACAUGAAUAUUCAGGAAAAUCAUUUUUAAAUAUGAAAAUAUUAUCAAAUUAUAGACGGUUGAAAGUUUUGUAUAUGAUAUGAGAUUUUAGUGGGAAAGUUUAUAUAUGAUAUGAUUACUUUAUUAUAAACGAAAGAGGAAGUUAGAAUGUACACAUAUAUGUCUUGUAUAUCUUGCUUUAAAUCAUAUAUUAUAUGAUCAAAGUGAUAAUAUAAAACAUUAGUUUCAAUGUUUUUACGAUUAAAAAUCAAAAUGAUAAAUAUAGUAAUAGUAAUGAUUAGAAUUUAGGAGUGAGAUUUAAAUAAAUAAAAGAAUUGACUAAAUUAUUGUUAGAGAAAUAUAUGGUAAUAUUGUUAGUAUAAAUUUAAGGUAAGACCAAAAAAUAAUGAAUUUAAUGAAAGUGUCCAAACAACUUUUAUAGAUAGAUAUUUUUAGACUCCUUUCCUUUUAAUAGUAUUGAUUCAUUCAAGAUUGCGCACUAUGCAAUGUCUAAACGUUAAGUUGCCCUUAGACGAUCAAUAUUGUCACAUGUGUAUAUAUAUAUAUGUAGAAUUCAUUUAUAUAACAACAUAAAAUUAAAAGAAAAAUGUUGGAUCAUAUUCCAUAGUCCAUAUAUAGUUUUACUUGUAUAUAUAUAUACAUGUUGGUCCUACUUGGUGUAGGUGUAGCAGAAAUAAGACCCUAGCUUCACGCACAGAACAAACUUUCUUGUUUAGCAAGCAAACCACACCAAAAAUUCUUAUAUUUAGCUCCUUGACAGCAGAUACCUCACCAGAAGUUAUAGAUAAAUUCAUUAUUGUUUAUUGAGUCCCUAAUAGUGAAUUAAUUCUUACUUCUGAUAAUAUGUAAGAAGAUCUAUAUAUACAUCUUUAGAAUUGCCGUAAUGAACCAUCGAUCAAAAUGUUUUCUGUUUUUCUUUGGUAAAAUUUUAAAAUUUAUAUCUUUUUCAAAAAAUGUACAAUGUUGCAAGCGCAACUUAUUAUAGCGGAUAAAGAAACCACGGAAAAACACGCAACUCAAGGAGACCUAGUACAAGAGAAAUAUAAUUGCAGAAGAGAGCGAGAAUGUUUUAUGAAAUCAAUUAUAAGUUAUUUUUCAAUUUUCACAUGUUGACUAGUUCUAUUCACCUAUCACAUGUUAGAGAUAAAUUAUGGUUGACCGCUAAUCCUUGUCGUUAAACUUUAAACUUUUAUGGACAAAAUACGUUGAUAUGAAAGUAAAAAAAAAUAUUUUCAUGAGAUAUAUGUCUAUUUUCCCGAGUGAAAGUGUCAUAUACUUGGUCCGGAUCUCUAAUACUAUAUGAUAUACUAAAAAUAAAUCUUUGCUACUGUGAAGUUUAACAGUUGUAAUUGUAAUAUUUGAGAUUCAAUCCAGGAGACAAGUUCACACUUUAUUCUUAUAAGUUUUAUAUCAAGUUAAGAACAAUAAUGAGUUUUGAUUUCAAUGAAGUAACUAGAGGUUAGCCUAGGGUAAUUCAUUGGGUGUUGAUAUUGACCAAACAAUUAUUCAAGUGCAAUAAAAAACCAUCUAGAACUCGAAUCACUCCACUGGAUCAGCCCACUGAGGUGGUGCUGCUCCCUUUGCGAAUCGAUCUUGUUGCCUAAGCUUUCGCUUGGAACAAGAUACGAUGGUAAGCCUUAGAGAUCAAGUCCGAUACCUUAACACCCUAAUAUCUACUUUCGCUGACUAGGGUUACUAAACUCAUUCAUACAAUGUCAAGUCAUCUCCUACACGGUUAGCGAGGUGAUUAAACUUAAGUUCAAACAUUAAGUGAUCAGAUUAAUCCAAGCAAUAAGAGCUAUAUAAAUGAAGACACAAGGGAAUCCCUUAUCUAUGUUUAGCUUGUUUAAUCAACACCCUAAUACCCUAGACGAGCUAGCCGACUACUCGAUCAUAAUGCAAGAAUUCAAAGACAACAUUUCUAAAUAAUACUGUAUACGAUAAAAUAAGAAACAAGGGUUCAGGAUAGUCUUCUCUAGGCGAGAGAUGAAGCCUUCUUCUGUACAAGUUGCAAUCGCCAAAUACAAGUCUCAGUCUCUUGCAAAACUAGUGUAAAAGGUAAAAUAGUUAGGGCAUUGUUUUUAUAUGAAGGCGUCGAUAAUAUCCAAGGAGGAAUAGGGUAGCUAGGGCAAACUCCCGAAAUAACCUUGGAGGUUUCCUUAUCUGUCGAGAACAGUCUCUCAGCUGUUCUGCUGUGAGAACAAUCUUCGGGCUGCUCCGACUGGCUGUUCCGCGUGAAACGCUCCAGAAUGGCAUCUUUCUUUAUGCAUCUUCUCUUUCAUUCUUCUGUCUACUCCGUACCUGAAGUAAUCACAAAAGGACUAGACAAAUUCGAUAGAAGACUGAAAAACCUCAAGAAACACAUAUACUAUGAUGUUGAAAACACCAUAUAUCACUAUACAUGAUUCAUGUGUCAUGUACGCCUGUACGGGGUGGAAAAAAAUCAAACCGAACCAAACCAGAUCGACCCAGCUAAACUCAAAUCGACCCAAACAUAACCAAAAUAUAUGUCUACACCAUUUUGUUAAAAAUUGUACAAUUCAAAUGGUUCGGUUUGAUUCGGUGUUAAACCAAAGUUUUUUUGAAUUAGAUUACUUGAAUAUACUAAUAAAAUUAAGAUUUAAGAUAUUUAACCAUUAAAAUUUAAACAAUUAAACAUAAUUUUUUUUCAAACUGAAUAGAAGAAACAACUAAAAAUAAAAUAAAAGAAUAUAAAUAUGAAUUUCAUACAUUAGCAUAAAAAUGGCAAAAAAUACCUAUGAUAUUUACAUUAGGUUGGAAGAUAAUAAUAUUAAAUUAUUAAAUUGCAUCUCUUAUAUUUUCUUGUGAUGUUUGACUUCAUGUUUAAAAUUUAGAAAAUAAUGAUUUAGUGUUAAAUGAUGAUUUUUAUGUUUUUAUAAAUAAUAUUUUGUAACUGAACUAACACAAAACUAAGAAAUUAAUUUGAUCGAACUGAAACAUACAAAACCAAACUAAACCGACCAAACUGAACACAAACUAAACCGAAACAAAACUAAAUCAAACUGAACACAAACCAAACUAAUUUCAAUUGAUUUUUAUUAACGUUUUCUUAGAUUCAAAUAAACCGAACCAAACCAAAACCCGAAUUUAAACUGAAAUGUUCACCCUUAGUUUGAUGGAUUCUCAAGCCAAAAUAUUUCGUAUAAUCACUCACCCUCUAAUAUUGCCAUGUUAUAUACCAUCAGUACCGGUCCAGAGAAAAAUUUAUAGUUGUGUGCCUAUAAAUAAAAAUAAAACACACAAAACUAAUUAUUACUACAUCGAAAAAUAUUAUAUUUAACCAACUACACUACUGAGCUUUUAUGCAAAUCAUAGCCAGAAAAUUAGAUAUUUUGUAUUGGGCCAGAAGCACAUGUUUCUACCGCCCAUGACUACGGACUGGUACUGUAUACCAUGCCACCAUGGCACAUAAAAUGGUUUAGGGGAAGUGACUUCUGAUUCAGCUACUAAAUCCUCCCACCACUCAACUUUUAACCAAUCUUGAGUCCGACGGUGAGACUAAAUUGCCAAUUUACAUGGUUAGAACAUAGAACAAACGUUUGUCUUAGGAAUAUAAAGAUUACAGUAUAAUUAAGAGAUGUAUAUGUAAGAAAGAUAGUAAAUAUCUGGCUUCAUCAUGUUUCCAAAGAGAUACCCAAAAUUCAGCUAAAGCAAUAUACCAUUCCCUUAUUGUUAGAAUGGGCAGUCUUUGACAAGUUAUAGUAGUUGAUGUGAAGAUUUGUGAAAAUGUAGAAAAUAACCAUGUGGGUCCGAUAAGCCCAUUCAAAAGCCGAAUGGCCCAAUGUGUUAGUGUGUACCGUCUGCCUGUGGGUCAUCAUUCUCAAUUACUCGUUUGUCCAACUCUCAAGGUGUGAGUGUGUACCGUAUGCAUGUGGGUCAUCAUACUCAAUUACUCAUAUGUCUGUGAUCAUUUCGCAAUCCUACCUUAUCUUUUGCACUCUGGUCCCUACUAUGCUUUCCAUUUUUUAAAAGAAUGUUUCUUAUAAAUUAUUUAAAAUCUCCACAAACUAUAUGCUUUUCUCUUACUUGACAACCAUUUAGCAAAUACAAUACCAAAAUUAUUAGAAUGAGAGAAGUUGCCUAGCUUUGCUAUAAUAAGUUGCAACGUAUAUUAAAAAUAAAAAUUUCACAAAGAUAAAAUGGAAGCGUGAUAUUUGUUGUAGAAAAAAACAAAAUAUGUGGAAUAUGUAUUGGACUUGAUCAUCCAACAUGUUGAUAAAUAACAAAAAGAAAAUGAAAACAAAAAUGAGAAAUGAUUUAGAAAAGGAAGUGAGUGAAAGAGACAGAGAGACAAGGCAAAGAUGAAGGCGAGGUGUCAAUGUCCCUUAUUGAAUGAUACUCUCUACCAAUGAAGGCUUCAGUGCCUAUUAGUCCCACUUCUAAUUUCCUCACCCAACAACAGCUAAUCUUUAGAUUCUUUACUUAACUAUUUAUGUAAUCUUAAAUUACAUUUGUGUAGGUAAAUUCUCCACUUAGAUAAAGCACAUGUAAUGGUAAGAUGUCAAUGUUCUUGUUUUAUUUUGUACUCGACAUAGAAAUUAUCUAAUCAUCAUUAAGAUUUAAGAGUAUCAUUGCAGUUAGGAAGUUAAACGUUCCCUAACGACCUUCUUUGAUUUAGAUGACUUAACUACUUCUUACGAGUAGGAAGUAAAUUACAUUUGUGUAGGUAAAUUCUCCACUUAGAUAAAGCACAUGUAAUGGUAAGAUGUCACUGUUCUUGUUUUGUUUUGUAAUCGACAAUAUAAGUUAUAUUUUAACACAAAAGUCAUCAUUAAGAGUAUAUUCAUUGCAGUUAGGAAGUUAAACGUUCCGCCUAAACACCUUCUUUUGAUUUAGAUGACUUAACUACUUUUUAAGAGUCUAAACUCGAUAUUGUAUAUAGAAAUACAUACUUGUGGAAGAUAUAGUAUUCGCACUUAAAUACUCCAAUAUCAAUAUUGUUUUAUGGUCAAAGGGUUUGCUACGAUUUAUAGUAACUUUUGAAGAAAGAGAUUAGUAAACACUACGUUGUUUGUAUUUAUAUAUUAUGUAGUUUAUGUGUUUUUGUAUCUUAAGUAUUUAAUAAUUGAUUAGAUACGGAAAAACCAACCAGACGGACUUAAACAAGUAUCCCAAUAAGAGAGCUUUUAGCUGGAACUUUGAUGUUCUUAGUCAUCUCAUAAGCCAAAUCUUGUUACCUCUGAUGCCUAUGUACGUAAAGUAAGAAAAGGAAAUAUAAAUAACAGAACCUGAAAUUUGAAAAAGUUGGAGAAUUUAAGAGCCAUGUGACUCUACAGUCACAUACUGUCAACACACACGAGCCUCCAAUAGUUCACUAAAAAUGAGAGAGCCCACGCUUUAAAGAUGGAUACAUCAGACAUGUUCCUUCAAUAACCUAGAAUCUGUUUAGCCAGAUAUGGAAACUAUUUUAAAUGCAUGUUAACACCAGAAGCUGGCAUUUUAAUUUGCAUUUAUGCAAUGAAAAACGAAACUCUUACAAACCAGAGUUACUACUAAUAGCUUUACACUGGAAGCUGAAACACCAAUUCCUGAUUUAGGAACAUUUUAUAUAGAUAUAUAUGAUAAAACUUAACAUUCACUGAUACCCUCUUUUAAACCAAAACCCUUGCAAAAAAAAAAAUGGGAGGAGAAUCUUGAUUAAGCGCCCUCAUUCACAGCUUCAAGCAACCAAAAAUUGAGAGCUUUUGGGGCAAUAAUAAAGUAGACUUGUUGUGACUCAAGCUAUACUUCCCUGGUCUGAGGCUUCUUCAUUGUAGUAAGGUGUUAACUUUCCAUCCUUAGUCUUGUUAUGGCUCUCGUCGUCUCCACCGCCGAUUUCUUGCAACAUCUUGACCACACGUCUCAUUGAGGGUCGGUUUAUGGGCAAGGGACUCGUGCAGAGAAGCCCAAUGUUGAGGAUUUUGCUUAUCUCUUCUUUGAAACAAGAGUCAAGCUUCGGGUCUAUCACAUGCUCUACGCCUUUCUGGUCCAACGUCGAGCAGACCCACUUCACCAAAUCUUUUUCUCCUAAUUCCGGAGCAACCGGGCGUUUCCUAGUCACUAUUUCAAGUAUGACUACCCCGAAACUGUAGAUAUCACUCUUCUCGUUCACACGGAGCGUGUAUGCGUAUUCUGCAAAUAGUUUGAAACAAACAAGAAUUAAAAUCUUACAAAUCCAUUAAUAAACAAGUGUGAACGUUGUGGAGCCAAUGAUUAAGACAUGUCUCAAUGGACAGUGAAUGCACAUUUAAGUCUCUCAACUACUAUACCUUAAAUGUAGUUCGUGUGAAUGUACAUGCAACAUGUACUAAUUAACCAACCACAUUAAAGUUAGUCUAACCUGGUGCAAUAUAACCGCAUGAGCCAGCGAUCCCUGACAUGGACUUAGGAGCUUUUCCGGUCAGGUCCACCACUUUAGCCACUCCAAAAUCAGCAACUCUUGCACCAUAGUCUCCAUCGAUCAAAAUGUUGUUGGACUUAACAUCUCUAUGCACAAUCGGAGGCACACAAUCAUGGUGAAGAUAGGAAAGCCCCUCGGCCGCAUCUAAGAUGAUCUUAAACCUAGUUUGCCAUCCCAACGUUCCUCCUUUGCUGCUAUGAAUCAAAUCUCCCAAGCUACCAUUAGGCAUGUACUCAUAAACCAAUAGCUUGCAAUCUCUCGUGGUGCAGCAACACCAUAGCUUCACAAUGUUCUUAUGCCUAAUCUUACCCAACGUCUCAACUUCAGCCUCAAAGGCCUCGUCUUUGACUCCACGUCUCUCGCCUUUCUCUGGAUCAGUGUCUCCUGCUUCUUUAACUGAUCCUCCUGUCCAUAAACGUUUAACCGCCACGGUUUCUCCGUUGGUGAGUACAACCUUGUAGACCUUACCCGAAGCUCCGGCUCCAAUCACAUUGUCUUCAUCCAAGCUUUCGAGAAUCUCGUGCUCACUGAACCCGAGUUUGUGGAAUGACAUAAGCGUCCACUUUGAUCUCUCCACAGCUCUUUCUUUCUUGAAAGUCUUGUACUUGAAGUAGAACCAAGCAAGUCCCGCGACAAACACCAUUACCGCAAGUACGAAUAUCGAUCUGAGAACCCAUACAUAGCCCUUGUUCUUAGCUUCAUCCCCAGAGCCACACAGACCCUUUAUGUCCCCGCACAGUCCCGGGUUCCCGAGGAAGCUGUUCUUGUACAUCUCCUUAGCUAAAGAAGGCGGUAGCUCACCGGUUAACCGGUUAUACGACAGGUUCAGCUGGUUUAGCUUCAAACUCUGUAACGAAACAGGGAUGUUGCCGGAGAAAAGGUUUCCCGAAAGAUCAAGAUAGUUCAAGACCGACAAAUUUCCGAUUUCGACCGGGAUUUGACCGGAGAACCGGUUACCGGCUAAAUUCAACUGGUUUAGCUUCUUCCACGAUUUGAUUUUAGGAGACAACUCCCCCGUAAACCGGUUACCGUGAAGAUCAAGAGUACCUAACUCAUCGAGAUUCAUCAAGCUAUCAGGCAAAGAGCCACUGAACUUGUUUCCACCCGCCGACAACUGAUUAAGGUUGUCCAAAGACCCAAUCUCCUCCGGCAAAGACCCGGUGAACUCAUUGUUGGUAAGUAUCAACUGCGAGAGAUUCGACGCGCCUCCGAUGGUCUUCGAAACUUCACCGGAGAAGGAGUUGUUGACGAGCUCAAGCAAGUAAACGUGAGGCAACCCCCAGAAACCGGCGGGAACUUGACCGGAAAACCGGUUAUACGCUAACCGGACACGCGUCAAGCUACGACAAUCUCCAAGGCUCUCCGGUAAAGGGCCUGAGAACGAGUUGUGGAUAAUCAGAAGCUCCUCCAGCUCCCCUUUCCCGCAGAGCUCCGGCGGCAACUCGCCGGAGAAUUCGUUUUGGGAAACGUCUAGCCACUUCAACGGCGAGUUGCGGCCGAGGUCACGAGGCAACUCGCCGGUGAAGCGGUUUCCGAAGAGCCUGAGCUCGUACAAGUUGGGAGACGAAGCUAAACUCUCCGGAACCUCGCCUUCGAGAUUGUUCUCGUAAAGAUUCAAACUCUCCAGCGCCACGCGGCAGAGCUCCUCCGGUAUAGACCCGGUCAACUGAUUCAUCGACGCGUCGAAAAGUCUCAGCGACUUCAGCUCCCCGAGCUCCGGCGGGAUCGCUCCGGUUCAACCCGCGUAGCGAGCGAGGGAUGGGACCCACCAGGUCGUUGAGCGCGAGGUCUAAGUCAACGAGUUCGGUGAGUCGGCCCAGCGAGUCGGGUAUCUCCCCGAGUAAACGACAUUCCGUGAGCCACAAGACCUCGAGGCUCGUCAGGUUCCCGAGCUCCGGCGGGAUCCGACCCGGAGUAAACGGGUUGUACGACAGGUUGAGCAUCUUGAGCGAGGUGAUGUUCCCGAGGAACGGAGGGAUGGUCCCGUCGAGGAGAUUGUAGACGAGAGAGAGAACCUCGAGGUUUUCGAACCGGCCGAAACUCGCCGGAAUGUCGCCGGAGAAGUUGUUUCCGGUCAAGUCGAGGGACGUCAAGAAGGGGAGAUCCGCGAGGGUGUGGGGAAGCUCGCCGGUGAGGAGAUUCUGGGAAAGGUCUAGAGUCUGGAGACUCUUGCAAGCUCCGAUGUCGAGGGGGAGCGUGGAGUUGAUGUCGUUGUCGUACAAGGAGAGGUCCGACAGUCUGGAGAGGUGGCAGAUGACGGAGGGGAAAGGGCCGGAGAGUUUGGCGCCGGAGAGGUCGAUGGAAGUGACGGAAGUGAAGUCUCCGCCGCAGUAGACGCCGGACCACCGACAAGGCGAGUCGUCUUGAGGGUUCCAGGAGGCGAGAGAGGAGAGUGGGUCGUCGAGAGAGUGUUUGACUUGUUGAAGGAUGAAGCCUUCUUGGUUUAGGGAGUAAACUGUCGGAAGAAUCAGGAGGAGAAAGAGUAGAUGCAUGUUUCUUGUUCUGUCUAAACGGCGAUAAGAGAUAGAGUGAGAGAGUGUUGAAGGAAGUGAGAUGAUAAUAAGAAGUCUGGAAAGCUUUGACCGCUGACAUGCUUAUUGUUUCUACUAUCAUUGAGUUUAUAUACAAAUAUUUUUAAUUCGGUUGCAAUUAUUAUUAACUAUUUUCUGUUUUAAGAUUUAUUACAGAUAAUAAAAGAGAAUGUUGUAAAUAAUGAUAUCUACUAGUCAGUCUUAUGGGAACAUUUAUCAUUUAUUAUUUCCCAAAUUCUUCUCUCAUUUUUAUUAGUUCAAAAACCUUUAUAAAUCAAUAUUCAAUAAGAAUAACUAAUUAUAUAUUUCUUUUAAUUUAAGAAUAAUUAAUUUUAGUUAAAACAACUGUGGAAUGUUGGAGAAUAAGGUUGGCUGAUGGUUAGUGGUGUUGUUAGCUCUCUUUGAGAGAAAAAAAAAAACAAGAGUCAAUCUCAGAUGAGAAAGUUUUGAUGAAUCAGUAGUGCUUGUUUUUUCAAAACAUAAAAAAAUAAAUCAGUAGCGCUUGUUUUAAAGACUGUGGAGAGUGCUGGGAUCGAACUAAGAGGGUUAGUUUCUAUAGUCGUGUAAUAGAUUUUGCACUAAUUGUACUUCUAUACAAAAAAAUGUUUUCAGUAAAGUCUGAAACCAUAGACAUGUUGAUUAACCUCGUUAGAGAGCAAAUUGUGUUUGCACUUUGGUUCUUGCUUUUAUACUAGUUUCUGUUCUGCCAACGAGUUUAGUUAUACAAGGGUUGAUGUAAGUUACUGCAAUAAGACAUGUUUUUUUCUAAACAAUUAAUAAGACAUGAUUUUGUGUGGAAAAGAAAGAUAUAGACAUACCAGAUGAAGUUUAGUAAUUUUAAGCAUGUAUCUUACUUAUAUAGAUCAUAUAUAGAUGUACAUGCUAAGAGCAUCUCCAACUUCACUUCAUUUUUUACUUUUUGUUUCAUUUUGAAUUAAGUUUUGCUCCAACCCUACUUUAUUUUUUACUUCAAAAUGAAGCAACGAACAGUGUUGCUUCAAAUUUGAAGAUCUAAUGUAUAUAUCUUCAUUUUUUUUUAAGAUAAACUUUUUCAUUGUAAAUUGGUCUUUAAUUUUUAUUUAUUCUUAUCUUUUGCUAAAAUAAACUAUAUGCUUUAAUAUAAUCCAAUUAAUUUCAAAAUUUCGACUAUUAUUUUUAUCUAAUCAGAUGUUUAUAUCAAAAAAUAUAUGAAUAUUUAUUUUUAAGAACUUUUUAACUCCAUUUAAAAAAAUCAAAGAUAAAUAAACUCAUUUUUUACUCUAAACACUUUUGUCAAUUAAUCGUAGAAAAAAAUUAUAUAUAUGGUGUUUUUUAUACAAAUUAUGAUGUUUUGCGUUUGUUUAUUCAUGUUAUGUAAUAAAUUCAUUAUAUGAGAAUGUUAAAUUUAUAUGAAAUAAUAAUUAUGUUGGGUUAUUGUUAAAACAAAAUAGUUAGUCAAAAUAAGUAAAUAUAAAAAAGUAUAAAGUGUAUAUUAAUAAUUAAUGAUAAAGUGGAGAUGGAAUAUAUUUGGAAUAUUCCUUUUACAAGAAAGAAAUGAAUCAAACCAUUGGAGUGAAUGUUGCUUCAUUUUUUGCUUCAUUUUGAAGAAAGUGAAUUUUUAAAAAUAAAAAUGAAGCCACCCAUUGGAGAUGCUCUAAUAGGCGAGAACAUAUCGAUGAGUCUAGGUAGCAGCUAUUUAGAUUGGUUUUAGAUAUUUCCGUCUGUCGUUCAAAAAAAAAGAAGAUAUUAAAUUUUUUUUUUUUUUUUUUGUCAUCAAAAUACAGACUCAUACUGACUCUGUGAACCAAACUGGGUGAUCUGCAUCCAUGUGAACGACGAAAGACGAUUGAUUUCGAGCACUGCGUGCUAGACUAUCCGCCUUUGAAUUGUGCGUCCGUGGUACAUAGAAGAUAUUUCUGUCUAAACAUAACUAGUAUAAUGUGUUUAUAAUUAAUGUAAGGGAAAUUAGGCUAGAUAGCUAAGAAAUAAAACAUAUUUAAGAAUCUAACUAAAAAAAAGAGUCACCAUUAUUAUUAUAUUAUGUACUAUAUUGCCCUUAGUAUCCGAUCACUAAAAUCUCAAACACGCUCUUCUUUAAUUACCAAUCGCCACCACCGUCAUUUCUUUCUUAAUCACCAUUGUAUCUUUAUUGUUGCCAUUUUCACUACAAUCACCACAAAUCUGUAAUCUUUGUUCAGUAUUUUAUAUUUUUAGGCCACAAUCCUAUCAACCAUCAUCUCUUCCUUCGUAAUAACUACCGCCUCUAUCAAUUCUGUUAUUCUCGUAUGUACUGUAAAUUUCAAGUUAAUAUAUACUAUUCUAUUUUCUUGUUACUAUUCUAUUUUAAUAAUGCUUUAUAUUAUGUACAAUGUGAGUGUUUUGAUAUUUGAAUUAGCGUUUAUAUUUCUUUUUAGGGUUUAGUGAUUAGCGUUUUGACUUUUGAGUUUAGUUUAUGGAAAGUUUGGGUUAACAUUGGAGUAAACAUUACCUUCUUUUCUUUAAUCAUAGACAUUUCAAAAUUUGAACAAUAUGUACUACGCUAUUUCAUUUGUUACUAUUCUAUUUUGAUUAUGCUUCAUGCAUAUUUUGAUAUUUGGAUUAUAGUUUAUAUUUUCUUUUAGGAUUUAGUGAUUAGUGUUUGGGUUUGGACGUAGAAAUCAUCCAUAGAUGUAGAGGAGGAAACACAAUUCAUUUUCGAAUAUACCAUUCUAUUUAAUAAUUUUACUAAUACUUGCCAUACCACCAGUUUGCUCUAUACUAUUUCUAAUCUAUGUUAUAAAAAAUCAUUGGUUCCUAUAUAUCUACAUCCACCACUUUCUUUGUAACCACCACCACCACCAUUGUCAUUACCAUCACGAUCACCACCUAUCUCAUUGUCUCUUUUAUAUACUUCAAAUUAUCACAAUUUUACCAUACCACCGUACUCACAUCCAUUGCUAUGAUACUAUGAUAAUCAUCACCAUCAGAAUCCAUAUCUGCCCCUACCGUAAUCAUCACCACUGCCGAUACAAUAAUCACCAUCGUCGCGAUAACUGUCACAAUUGUAACAUCAAAACUAUUAUCAUCACCGGUUGUUUCAUAACUGUUACUGUUUUUUUAUCUCUAUCAUCAACCAUGCCUCGUAAUUUCCUUUCAUUUUCUUCUUUUCAGUUUUAACAUAAUCAAUAAUUUUCUUUAUCGUAUAUUUGCAAGACAAAAGGUUAAAAUCGGAUUUUCUUCUUUUCAGUUUUAAUGUCAUCAGUUAUUUUCUUUACCGUAUACUUAUAAGACAAAAGGUUAAAACUAGAAAGAAAAGGAAAGAAAGUGUUAUCCAUUUAAUUAUUUCAAAUAGGCCUGGGCAAAAGGCCCGAACCCGAUUACCCGAACCGAACCCGGUCCGUUUAAGGUGGUAUGGGUCGGGACCGGAUCUGUCAAAAAAACCGAAUGGGCCUGAUGUCUUGCUACUGUCGGGUGUCGGGUCGGAUCGGUUAAAACCCGAGAGCCCGAAUGGUUACACCCGAAACCCGCCUCUCAUUAACCCUAAUCCCCUUUUUCCCCAAAUCGUAUCGCGAUUUUAUUUUUUCUUUAUCUUCAAGGAGAGAAUCCAUGAAACCUUUCCUAAAUCUCGAUCUCCCAAGAUAUCCUCACCGAAAUGAUUUCCUAAGUCCGAUUAUCGGAUAUCUCCAACUGUUUUUGCACCUCCUAUCCGAUUCUCUUCCUCGAUUUGAACCCGAUACCCUAAGUCUAAGAUCCUAUAAAUACUUCUGCUAUCAUCAUCGUCUCCUCCAUCACAUAUCUCAAGUAAUCAAGCAAAGGUACACCUCCUUUUACAGAGUACUCGAUGCUUGUUUAAAUUUUUUUUUCUUGCUUUCGGGUUUUUGGGGUUUGGUUCAAUUUUUAAGAUUGAAAAACUUAUGUUUUGUUUCGUAUUAAGCAAGCAUCACGAUUCACGAGUGAUCAUAGGUUCUUUUACAUGAACUUGCUGACAUGUGAAAUGAAAACAUAUCGUGCAUUUUGAUGUUUGUUGUAAGGAAGUCUUAUGUUUUGGGUUUGUUGUACGAGUAAUAAUAGGUUCUUUUUCAUGAACUUACGGUUUUGUUUCGUAUUAAUCAAGGUUGAUGUUUGUUCUUCGGCUAUGAGCUGAGUUUACGGUUUUUCAUGAACUUACGGUUUUUAUGAACUUACGGAUAUAUAUGUUUUCCAAACUAAUUUUGUACAUGUUGAUGUUUCUUCUUCGGCUAUGAGCUGAGUUUUUGGAUAGAAACUAAUAACUGAAUUGUUUCUUUUGAUGUCACUGAUGGUAAUUUUUAUUCUCAUUAUCUUGCAGAUGGUUUCCUCAUCCUCCAAAAUCCCACACACCGUUGAAGAGACCAUGGACGUUGACGUUCAAGUUGAAGGAGAAGAGUGCCAACGAACUCAAAACCGUGGGAAGGCCAUUGCUGUUGAUGCAACGUCUGGUGUCUCUUCUCAGUCAAAGAAGGUGAUGAAAAUCGUUGUGCCAAGGUCUGGUGUCUGGAAGCAUUUCACCCGAACCAAAGAAAGUCGAGACAGAUGCAUCUGCCACUAUUGCCAGAAGAUCUUCUCAUGCGCUACCAAAUCAGGAACAUCAAACCUCCAGAAGCAUCUGUCCAUCUGCAAAGAGUACCAAGCUUGGUUAACCAGCCAAGGUAUGAAUAAGAUGGAGAUCAACACUGAUGGCAACCUGAAGUCAUCAAAAGUUGCAGAGGCUGUUUUCAGAGAGGCAUCAAAUGAGUUGAUCGUGCUAGGAGAACUGCCUCUUUCAUUUAUUGAAAGCAGUGCUUGGAAACACUUCUGCAGAAAGGUAAUUCAUUAAUAUACCAUUACCUAUUUUUUUAUCUUCCUUUUAACAUGAAAAAUUACUAAUACUUUUGUUAUUUACGCUUGCAAGGUAAACCUCUACAAGCCACACUCGAGAAGGACUGCCACCAGCGACAUCGUUGAGAUGUAUGUGAGGAAGAAAGCAGCUUUGAAAAAUAUGCUUCGCACAACCAAACAAAGAGUGUCACUUACAACUGACAUUUGGGUUUCACAGGUUACAGGUAUUUUCUUUACAGCUUUUUUUUUUUGUUUUAUAACUUUUAUUUAUGCUAUACUUUUUGCUAGCAUAGAAUGUCACUUUUCAAAAUUUCUAAAUUCAUUUUUUCAAAAAAAAAAUUAACAAAGACUGUCACGUAAAACUUCUAUGCAUAUGAUAUAUUUAUAAAGUUUUUUAUUUUUUUUCUGAACUCUGACUUUGUUUGUUUAAUUUGUCACAGGUGCAAGUUAUAUGGUGAUAACUGCCCACUUUGUGGACGCAACUUGGCAGCUGAAGAAGCUUAUCAUAGGCUUCAAGUACGUGAUGGACCACAAGGGGCAGACCAUCGCAACUGUGCUCUUGGAGUGUCUAGCUGAAUGGGGCAUUGAGAAGGUAUUUUGCAUUACAGUAGACAAUGCGACUGCUAAUACUUCUGCCAUUAGGAGAUUCCAUAGGGAUUUUAGUGAUGUAUCCCCUGAGUCUUUAGUUCUAGACGGGAGUUUCUUGCACAUGAGGUGCUGUGCUCACAUCAUCAAUUUAAUUGCUAAGGAGGGUUUGACCGAGGUAGGAGAAAAUGUGUUAGCCAUUAGGAACGCUAUUCAGUAUGUUCGCUCUUCAACACCUAGGCUUAAUGCAUUUGAUCUUAGAGUCACUACUGGGAGAAUGAGUCGAGGUAGCUUACCUAUGGAUAUUAAGACUAGAUGGAAUUCAACCUUCCUUAUGCUGUCUAGGGCUCUUCAGUUUAGAACUGCAUUUGAUAGGAUGGAGGCAGAAGAUAGGUUGUAUAAUGAUUAUUUUUUAGAGAUGGAAAAUGGGGUUAAGAGGUGUGGACCACCUUCUUUGAGAGACUGGAGUGCUGUUGAGAAGCUCAAGAGGUUUCUCAUAAUCUUUUACAACAGCACUCUGGUUGUUUCUGCCUCUACGACGGUUAAUUCUUACAAGUGCUACGGUGAGAUAGUGACCAUAGAAAGAAACCUCACUGCACUAGCCAACAGCUUCGAUCCUGAGUUGAAGGUGAAAGCGUCGGAGAUGUUGCAGAAGUUUCUCAAGUACUGGGAUGGUAUCAAGAGUGUCAACAGGAUGCUGAUCUUAGCCACUGUUUUCGAUCCAAGGAAGAAGAUGCAAUUUGCCAAGCUCUGCUUUGAGAAGCUCUAUGAGAAGGAGAGCUUAGAGUCUAAUGCAAUGCUGGAAUCUGUUGGUGAUCUUCUCAGGUAUUUGUUUUAUAAUCAUGAAUUUAAUAUCCGAGACCUCAAUAACAAUGCCUCCAAAACUUGUAUAAAUAUUUUAUUUAUGUUUUUGGAUCUCAGGUCUAUGUUCAAAGAGUACAACACAAGACUCAGAGGGUCUACUGGAGAAGCCUCUCAGUCAAAUCACGCAUCAUCAUCUCAGCCUCCUCCAGAGUCGACAGAUCAAGGCCCGGAUAGAAUGGAGCUGGUGGUUGAAGAUUUCGGUUAUGAGCGGAUGGAUUAUGUUUACAAGGAGAUGGUUGCUGAAAAGGGAGAGGAUUCAAGGGACGAACUUGAAGUGUACUCGAAGGAGGCAGUUGAAACUCCUAAGCUCUUGCUUGGUGUGGAGUUUGACAUUCUCGCGUGGUGGAAGGUCCACAAGAUGAAGUAUCAUGUGCUUGCUGAAAUGGCAAGAGAUCUACUCGCCAUGCAAGUAUCUUCAGUGGCAUCUGAAAGUGCUUUUAGCACCAGUGGGAGGAUCUUGGAGCCAUAUCGGAGUUGCUUAACUCAUUACAUGAUAGAAGUUCUCAUGUGUACUGAGCAAUGGAUGCAUGCUGACAUCAAGGUGAGUGAACAAGUCACUACAAAUGAGCAAAUACUUGCUGAUGUGGAGUUGCUUGAUCGACUUCAGAAAGGUAUGUCUAUCUUUUCACUUAGUUUCUUUAUACUGUCUUAUGUGUAGUAUUUGUUUAUGCAAUGAGCUCCUUUCUUAUGCCUUGUUUUUAUGUUGUAGAGUUUCAAGCACAGACGCUUGAUGAUUGAAGCUUCAAGGUCGAAGCAUGAAGUGGAAGAAGGCGGGUGAAGGUGAAGCGGGUGAAGGUUGAAGCAUGGAGCUUCAAGUUUUCUGCAUUUGGUUUUUAUUUCUUUGAAAUUUCAAGUUUGAAUAAUGUUUCUUAUUUUGGUUUUAAGCAUUUCAUUAUUGCUUUGUUUGCAUUCUCUGAGUUGUUAAGUUUUUGACUCUUCUAUCAAUAAUAAAGGUGUUUUGGUUUUAUAUCAGUGUUGCCUUAGGGGUUAUGAGAAUUUUCAAUGCUUUAUUUCUCUGUGUUUUUUACUUACUUGCAGCACAAGUUACGAAAUUCUUUUGUACGGUAAUGGUUACUUUCACUACAAUUAGUACUUUUAAGAACCGAAAUACUAACCACACCCCGAACCGGAAAGUAUUCCGGGUUAUACCGGUUCCACGCCUGUCUACCAACCCCGACCCGAACCAUAUAGCCCCCGAACCGAUACCGAACCGAUCUUCAGUUUUAUCCGAAUGGGGCUUGUUUUUGUUAACCAAGAAAACCCGAACCCGAUUAGGAUGGAUCCGAAACCCGAAUGGUACACCGGUUGCCCAGCCCUAAUUUCAAAUCAAUAGCUAUAUUCUUAAUAUUGAUCUCAAAAUUGGUUAGUUGGCAAAUUAACCCUUAAUGUAGUCUAAGUAUUUUAUUUUAAUUUUAAUUUAAAUAUGAAUAAUAUUUUAAAUAAAUAAAUAAAUAAAUAUAUAUAUAUAUAUAUAUAUUCUAAAAAAAAUUUGGAUAAUUGAUCGAUAUCCAUUCAUCUUCUUUUUUUUUACUUUUACUCUUUAUAUAUCAAUACUAUUAAAAGGGAAGGAUUUUGAAAAAAUCUACCUAUGAAAAUUGUUUGGACCUAUUAUUUUUAAAUUUUUUUGGACUUACCAUGUAUAUUAUAACAAUAAUUGACAAUAUUUUUUACCCUAUAGACUCCCGAUUAUUACUCUAACCAUGCGAACUGUAUACAUUAUUAUUUAUACAUAACCACUAAAACCGAUUGCUAAACACUCUACCCAAACAAAAUACAUUACAUGAACCAAAACCAGAGCACAACCUAUUAUAACUGUUACGUUAACGAAAUAUUCAUUUUUCUCACAUAUUACCAUCGACUACAAAACACGUUACAUGUAAGACACUACACUACAUAGAAGCUUUAUACAAGAUUUGGGUGUAACAUUAUAUGAUUCAAACAUUAAAUUUCAUUAGUAAAAUAAUCUUCAAGAUUAUAUGAUUCAAACACUAAAUUUCAUAAUUAUGAAAAGCAAAACAAAAUCAAACUCGCGCUUUCAAGCGCGGGUCAAAAUCUAGUAUAAAUUAAAAUCCAUUUAAAUAUUUAUGUUUUUCUAUUUUGAUCUGGUGUCUUUUAGUUUAAUUCUUUUCAGUUUGGAUUAAUUCUUUGGUUUUGAAAUUAGCCUUUUAUUGUAGUUCAGUUUUGUUAUACGCGACCACGUAAAUGUUCAUUUCAUUUUGUAUCAAAUUUAAGAUUAACUAUCUGAUAUAAAUGUUUUUACAUGGUGUUGGUUACUCAUGUAUAUUAUUACUGUUGGACAUUUAGGCAAUUAGAAUAAUAUCAUAUGUGGCUCAUUUGAUAAUUUAAUAUUGUGUCGGCGAAUAUUUAUUUUAAUAUAUGUGAUAGUAUAUUAAAUAAAUUAUUUCUAUUUUGAUGUUAUAAUAUAAAUAAAUUCAUUCAAACUCUAUGACAAUUUUGUUCAUAUAUCUUGUAGUGGAAUGAGUGGAAUGAAUUUCUCUAUUAAUAAGAUAGAUAUUAGAUCCAGUUGUUAGGGACACCAUGUGUUUUUUACAAACAAAAUUUCAAAACUAUAAUUUGAAAAACAACACUACAGAAAUUUCACCCAAGACAUGUUUUAAUUUGUAGGGUUUCCUCAAUUCAAAAAAAAAAAAAGCAAAUCAUUGCUAAGUAAUUAAUACACCUACUAUUUUAGAUCUUGCGGUAAAAUUUGUGAUAGAUACAAUUUCCCCAACAACGAGAUCCACAAAUAAUAAAUGUGGUGUGUAAGAUUUGCCAUUUGUAUGUACCUAGAUAGUAAUUAAUGAAUACGAUUCAUUAUUUCUUGUUUUGUGAACAAGCAAAAAUGAAAUAAGCGCAUCCAUGUUAAGAUAUAGUAGUAUAAAGAAAAUAUGAGAUCAAAUUGUUGAUAAGCCAACCGUUAAUGAUACGUGGAGUAGUAUUUUGGUUGUGUAAUUAUUAGAUAAUGCAUGCCAAUCUCACUCAAUACACACUCCAAGUUGUCUUUUCUUUUGUCGCAUUUUUCAUUUUUGUUUUGUCAUAUUAGUAACUCAAAAUGUUAUGUUGCCCCUACAUAAGAUAACAUAUCAUUUUAUGAUCCCACGUCGAAAGAUAUCUGUGCAGUUGAACCUCCACCUCACAUAACACCGGCACACUUAUAAGUAUUUCUCUUUAAUCUUUCUCGCACAUUUCGGUAUUUUUCUGUAUCUUAUCUAUUAAAAUAGAAGUCAUGAUUUUUUUUCAUGCGUGACAUUUUUAAUUAAACCAUUAUUUAAAAAAUUAUCAAAUGUAUUUCUUUAAUGCGAAUAAUAUUUAAUAUUUUAACUACUUUAAUAAUAAUAUCUUUUAAUUUAAAAUGUCAAAAAAUCUGUUGAAAAUAAAAGAUUAUAACAAGAUUUUAAAUGUCAAAAACUGUAUAUAUAUAUCUUCACUAAUUUUGUAAUUAGUAAUAAAAUGUAAUUAUAUAUAUAUAUAUAUUCAGUUAUCUUUUAAAAUAAAAAAUUAUAUCAUAUUUUAUCUAUUUUAUAAUAAUAUCUAUCAUUUUAAAAUAAAACCUUUAUAUUUAAGUAAAUAUGAUAAAAUUAUUUUAAAUUGAUAAGUUAAUAUAUUUUAUUUUCAUAAAUAUAAAACAUCUAUGCUAAAAAAUAUAAUAUGUUGGUAGAAUGGGUUAACAUUAGUUAGCUAUAUAAUACAUUUAUAAAAAUUAGCCUAUCUUAAACUCUUAUAUAUACAAUAAUUUAUUAUCUUAAAUGAGUAAACAUAAGAAAAUUGCUAAAGGAAAUAUAUCGCUCUGAAUUACAGGGUAUGAUCAUAAUAAAUUAAAUACAAAAUAAUUUUUAAAUAUGUUAUUUCAUGAAUAAACAAUUGGUUUGAUAAUCAAACAUAAAUUCAAUACAGCAAAUAUAUAAUAAGAAGCAACAUACAUAUAUAUAUAUAUAUAUAUGUGUGAUGAUUUGAAAUAAUUAAUUAAUUUAUAUCAUGAAAACUAUAAAAUUAUUAUAUUUGAAAUAAUUAUAUAAACAUUUAAAUAUAUGAAUAACAUUAAAAAUAUAUACUAAUUAUAUAAAACAAAUAUCUAUAUAUAUAAAUGUAAAAAUAAAUAGUGCGGAUCAAAAUCUAGUGUUGAUUUAAAAUCUAACAACCUAAUUAUGUACGUGUGUGGUGUGUCCAUUAACGUAAACUAGCUCCAAAAAUAACAUACUUACCGGACGUAACUAUGUUUUAAUUAGUCAGCACAUUGUUGUUCUACAUUGCAAAUAUUGAUUCAUUUUAAGAUUAGUGUUUUGAAUGAUGUGUUAGUAGUAGAUUAACAGCAACAGCAGCAAAUUAAAACAACAACAAAUUACUAAAAUGGUCUGAAAUGUUAUUUUUUGUAAGUAACAAUUUAUAUAAAAAGUUAAUUAAAAUCUUUAUUAAUUUUACAGGAAACAGUAACCAAACAUUGUGAGUGUGGUACUUUUAACGUGCGAGUGAAGUUACAGACAAGUAAGAGCAGCAUCAUUAUCAUAGAAUCGCACUUUAAUAGCAUUUACUUUCUUUAAAUUAUUUUUACUAUAUAACUUUGUAUGUUAGUUUGGAACAUUUCGAACUCGUUCCUAUUUUUGUCUCGAUAUAGAGGAAAAAUUAACAAUUUUUAUUUUUUAUUCUAUAUCUAGAGUAAUGAUAUUACAGAAAAAUAUAUUAGAUCAAACUUCAUCUCUAUGAUGAAAUAUUUUAUUUUAGAGGAUAAAUAUCAAUAUACAUUAGAGAUGGUAUCUUUUGCUAUCACAUUCAUUUUAGUAUCUUUUUUUUUGGUUUCUAGAGUUUUUCUACAUAACCGAUAAGGCCAUAACAAUGUUUAUACUCAUUUUUGUCAGCUUAGCAAUUAACGUACGUAAGUAAACCAUAUCAUGACUAUACAUUUGAGCCUAACAAUAUACUUGAAGACUUGAACGAAAAGUUUUCAGAUUUUUGAACAAUAACAAACAAAAUAUCAACGUUUUCUACAAAAUUGAUCAUUACUUUAGAAACCAAAUAAUUUCACUUCCAUCACGUUUUUUUUUGGGGGGAGGGGGGUUUGCCCAAAAAAGAGAGAUGAAAGGAAAUCGAGAAAAGUAGAAAAGAGAGUAUUCCCGAGACAAAACCAAAGUUGGAAACAUCGCACCGGUGUCUUAUCAUUCAUAGGGACUGCUGCAUGCAAUCUCGAUGUCUGUUUAUACCAAUGCAAAAACAAGAUUCAACUUAAACAGCUGCUCUACUUUUGUGUGUGUGUUUUUUGCUUCCUCAAUUCAUCCAAGGAAGGAACAUAUGAGUCAUAAUGAAUUGUUUCAUCGUUUGUUCUAAAAUACGGCUUGUGUAUUUUUUUUUUAUCAAAGCAGUUUGUAUAUAUAUUAUUAUUAUAUCUUUAUAUGUAAGAAGUUAUAAUUUUCUUAGUCACACCAAUUCAUUGUUCUAUUAUCUACUGUAUAUUUAAAGUAGAUACAACCAAUAAACUUUUUUUACAAAAGAAUCUACGGUAUAGUUUCCAUAUACACAACUAGAUUUACUGCGCUAUCUCUAAUUCUCUAUACACGCUAUAUAUGUUGUCCAACCACUAAUUGUGUAACUAGAAGCAGUAGCGUUGGUGACAACUCAAUAACUUUAUAUUCUAUUUCGUAUUUUAUCAAAAAAAAAGCUGGAAAGGAAAGAAUGUUAAUAUCAUGUGGAUGUGGGCGCAAGAUUUGUGUGAGGUAACUUAGCAUUGUAUCGUGUGUAUGGAUCAGUCGAUCACAUGGCAAAGCACUAUACAUUUGUAACCGUUAGGGUAACGGUUAUUUGGAGUAGUUGGACACCCUUCAUUGUAUGGACUCAUUCUUCAAACUAUAUGUUAUGACUUAAGAAACAAUGAAGUUGCCAACAGUCUAAAAUAUAGAACUAAGGUGAGAAAUGUAUGCGAACAAAUAUAUUUUACGUUGUUAUCUUAAGUAAUUUAGAAAAGAUACAUGCUCAUUUACAACUAAAUCUUUUGAAUUUAAAAUCUCUGAAUGAUAUUAUAAUGUUUUUGUUUCAAAAUUAAAAUUUUAUUUUUAACAGUGUACUGGUUCUAAUUUUGAUUGGUUAUCUGUGGUUAACCACAGUUAAAUUUUCAUUAGUGGCUUAAUCUAUUUUUCACGGAUAACGUGAAUAGCAUAGACCUGUCUUUCAUCUGUCCCAAGUCAACGACUUGUGAUUCAGUGUUUAAUUUAGCAUUAGAAUAUACUACAACUUAAGAAUAACAAGGGAGUUGCAGCAAGUCGCAUUAUCUAGGAAAACAUUAUGUAAAAUAUAUUAUGACAUAUAUAAAAAAAAAUGGCGCAAUUUUCCUUCUGGCUUUUUUUUUAAGUAUGUACUUGAAUUGAGGCAUAUUAAUAAUACAUGGGCUAUCUUUUCUUUUCACAUCAAAUAUUAAUACUCCAAACGAAAACUUUCCUCUACUAUUUUUAAUUCUCAAAUGUGUUUCUUUUUCACUACUUUUUCUUCUUUUUCUUUUGUGAAAUCUUCAAAUAAGCUUUUGUGGUUGUACCCAAACUUUUUCGAAAUAUCCCACUUGCAAUAAGAUCUGCGGGACCUGAUAUAUUGUAUAGUGGCACUUUUGCAAACUUUGAUGGAAUAUAAAUUGUACACCAUCUUAUCAAAUAGUAUAUUUUGAAGACUUACACCUGCUCCUGUAUCACCUCAUCGAUCCAUAUUCAAAUUGUAUGUUGGUAAAAAUCCCAAGUGCACCCAAUAUCCAGGGCCAAUAUCAUAAGAGAUCUUGAAAACUCUACAUUUUUCUGUUAGCAUGUUCUAUAGAAUUUAUUUUAGCCAAGAUCAAUUCAAGCCCGUAUGUAAAAAACCUCCUCAUAUUGGUAGAGUUCCCGUAAGAUAUUGAGAUAUAGAGUUGAUGGAACCUCUUAUGAUUUCUCGUGAUCUAUAUAAGUGUUUUAUCUGGACCGAUGGGUCCAAUAAUUAAUUUAUAUAUAAACAACUGUAGUUGUGGGUUCGACGUGGUUAAAAUAUGAAAAUAGAAGAGCCAAAAGAAACAAGAAAAGCGUCUAGAAGCAGGGAGAAGUUCAAUUUAUUCAGACCCAAGUUUUGGUGAUCUUCCUACCUUGCAAUCAUAAUUAUUCCCUAAAGUUUUUUUCUUGCCUUUUUGUAACGAUAAUGAUUCCCUUAAGCUUAAUCAUUCACUUUAAUUAAUCUUUAAGAAUAUACUAUUGAGUUUAUUUCACGUUCCACCUUCAUCUUCCUGCUUUUGGUUGGUGGGGGUAAAAAUAAGAAAGAAAGAAACCCUCUUAACAACUAUUAUCUAUAAUGUUCAAUUUCCAUUUGAAGUUCUAUAGUAGUUGUUAUUGUCUCCAAUCUAAAGUUCGACAUUUUCUGUUCUUUUGAGUCAUGCAUAUUAUCACCGCAUGUGUCGUGUACAAAAAAGCAAGUUUAGCUUAUAUACGAUUUGGAAUCGUUUCAAACAGAUGUUCCGCCUGACAAAGAUAAUGUUCCAUCUUUCAAAGAUAUAUAUUUUGUACAUGUAGAUAUGGACAAAAUAUAACAGUUGAUUGGUGAUGGAAGUGUACGGUAAAGAAUUUUUGGCUUGUGACGUUAAUUAGGAGAACAAGCAUAACCAUAAGAGACUAGAACAUAUUGUGGUUCAAUAGUGAUUGCACUUCUGAUAUUUUGAAUAGUAUAUAGGAUAAAAAUAAAAUUAUAUUUUAGAUAUCUUAAAAUGCUCAAAUGUAAAAUUCUUGUUUUGUAUCGCAGAUUCAAGAGAACUGAAAUGUGUUUCUUUUCAAUUUAUUGAAACAGUAAAAAAAAAAGCACGAGCUGAUUAACUACGUUACUUAGACCAUCUCCAAUGUAUUUUGCUAUUUUCACCUCUAAAAUAGGGGAACUCUAUAAUAGAGGUGAGAUAUGCUCCAAUGUAUUCCCCUAAAAUAGCAAUCUCUAAAAUAUAGAGUAAAAAAUAGAGGAAUGCUAUUUCUUCCUCUAUAAAUAGAGAAAAAAAUAAAAAUCUCUAUUAUAGAGGAAGAAAUAGAGGUGGGUUGGAGCAAUUUCACCUCUAAAUGCUAUUAUAGAGGUGAAAAUAGCAAUGGGUUGGAGAUGCUCUUAGAGUGGUCUAACUUGGAGGCUUGGACCAUCCACGAAAGUGGUAAGAUUUACUAUAGAAUAACAAAUAGUAUAAUAUUGUAAUUUUAUUUAAAAGAAUUUCAAAGAGAAAGGGGGUCACUAAGACAACGAAGCAGAAGAUAUACAUGCGCUUGCGAAAAAUUAUGACAAUGAUUUGAGAAAAACACGCAAACUCUUUUCCAAGUCCUCUCUUCAAACAUGUCUCUUUGUCUUGGGCAUGUAACCAUUUAAUGGUAAGAUAAUAAUUUCCACCUGAAUCGUGAUUCUCAUCCGAAAGAAAAAGAGAGAUGAAACUACAGGAACACUCUAACGGAGCAUAAAUGUUUGACACAAAAGGAGAGAUGCUAUGCUUAACCUUAUAGAUUAACACAAGAAUCAUUUGACUUACACUACUACUACUCAACAAAACAAUGAAGUUAUUAUUAUUGUUAUGAUAACAAAUGCAUUUGCUAAUAUAUGCUUAGGCUUGGCUUGACUUUAACCAAACCAAAUCAUAAAUGUUCUCUUCUAAUGCUUCUCUUAUGUUUUCUCACCUAUUCUGAUACACUAUCACUUUCUUUUCUCCCUAUAUAUUAUAAAAUAUGUCUUCUUCCUUGUCCACAUGCUCAUGAAUCGCUGCUGCUGUAAUCUUCUGAUUCUCUGUCGUAAUUGUUGGCUGCUGCAUUAUUAUUAGCAGCAGGUACAUCAUCAUCUUCAGAGCUCUCACUCAUUUCUGCGACAUAUUCUCUUUGUACUUGCUCAACUCCGGCAACUUCUUCUUCUACAUCCUCCAUAGCCUCAUUUGGGUUACUAUUCCAAUCAAACCCCCACUUGUUUCUCUGACUAUAACUCACAAACUGACCCUCAUCAUCAUCAUCAUCCUCUGAUUGAACUCCAACACUGUUGUCGUCACUUUCACCAUCCACUUGCAUCGGCGUCAUCACUCUGUUAGGUGUUUCACUAGCCCAUUCCUCGUCCAUCUCUCUAGGGGUUUCACCUGCCCAAUCUUCAUCAAUGCCUCUGAAUGUUUGCUCUUCUUCCUCUUCCUCAUCUUCUUCGCUUGUAGGCUUAACAAUGUCAGCCAUUCUGCUGACUAAGCGGUAAUUGUCCUCAUCGUUCCUCUCUGGUCUUUUUCUAACCGUUCUCUUUCCUCUUCCAGGGACUUGAUGGUUCAACUCCACGCUCAUUAUGUUCCUGCUGGCUGCGACAUUGCUCCUACCAGCGACAAAUCUGCCAUUACCCCCUUGCACUUUAUUCUUCUUCGCCUUCUUGUUUGAUCCAGAUCCAAAGAUUACUCGUCGUUUAUUACUUUUUUUACCCGAGUUUGGAACAACCUCGUCUUGGUCUUCUUGCUCUUUGGGUCCUUUACCUUUCAGUAGAGAGUUUCCAGGGAAAAGGCUCUGCAUAUACCACAAAAAUUGAGUUAACAGAGAAACAAGUUUCACAAUUAUUAACAGAAUCCAAACGGUCUAAAGGACUUACAAUCUGCUCGUUCUCAUCUUCCGGGACUGGCUCAGGUUUCUCUGGCUUCACAUAAACAAUGGAUGCAUCAAGGUCUGAAAGUCUCAAAGCAACCGCUGAUACUGUCUUUGGUAUCCAUGGAAACACGUCCAUUGAUUCCUGAUCAUCAGCACCAGCAGCUCCCAAGAGCUCCUUUGCCGAUAAAAAAUUGGAUGACAAAGAUUCUUUCUUGAUUGCACUCUCUAAAUAAGUCAAGACCUGUCCAAAAAAGAAAGAAAGAUAACGAGUUUUUAAAAACAAAAAUGUAAUUGUAUAUUUGCAUUUUAGGGAAAGAAAAACAAGAUGUUAGUACCUGUGAAAGCUCUUCAGGUGAUGAUGAAGCAUUCAACUUAAGCCCCCAAUUUUUUCUUUUCUCCUCUGUCCAAAAUGAUUCAAAAGCUUCAUCCGGAACAGAUGCCUGUAGUCAAUAAAGUUGUCAAAAUUUGGUAUCAAAGAGCUGACUGUAGAUUAAAAAAUUGACAAGAGUUCAAUGAUGCUUUACCUCAAGAAAAACAAGUAGUGCUUUGAGUAACCUGACUCCAAAAGGAAGAGGAGAUGCAGUCAAACCUGAAUCUACUAUCUUUCUCUCUGAACCAUCAGCCAUGUCUAAUCUCUGGUGGCAAGAAAUGCAGUGCGUAUACUCAGAUAAAUAAGAAGCAAUACAAACUUCACAUGUUGCUAGUAGUUCACAUCUCUUCUUCCCGUCUUUCCUAGCACAAGAAGGCACUGAGCUGUACGUCUCGGUCCACAUCCAUCUCUGGAAAGCAUGGAACCGUUUUAAGAAAUUCUCCUUCUCCUUGUCAUCUCUCCCUAGCUCAACUCUAAUAGAAGUUGAGGCUCCCAUUGAAUCAGAACUUAACCCCAAUAUAGCACUAGAUGGGCUUACAGAAUCUUCCUUCAAAGAGGGGUUUCUAGCUAGGUUUAUAUUCUUAGAAGCAUUCUCUUUGAAUGCUCCCUCAAUCUUCUGCAGCAUUAUGCGUAAAUGGGACUCUCUGACCCCACGCAUAUCCAGUGAUGCAACCAGAGUGUCAAAAGCCUACACAGAACAAAAUUCACACACGUAAUGGUUAAAAAAUCUCUAUCAAUAAGCAACCAAAAACCUUAUAGCUACAAACUGUUUAAAGUUGUUGUUACCUCUGCUGAAUCAAUGAGGCGCCACUUGCUAUCAUGGAGCUCAACAAAUAUAAGCCCCGAGCAAGGAUCACUUUUAGAUGCUGAUGCAGCAAAGUGCCAGUAACGAUUGUGGCGUCUAUCUUGUCCAAGUGGCAAGGAUCGGUAUGGAUACACCUCUUCUGCUUUGUGGCUUAUGUAUGAUUUCAAUUGUGAGCGUGACCUCUUUGAAGAGAAGUUUUCUUGACUUAUAUUGCCCUCUUGGUUAACAGAACCUCUCUCAGUAGAUAACUUAUGAACAUCGUUUGAAACAACUUCCAGGGGCGGCUUCGUUUCAUCUACAAGUUGAGAAGGGUCUCUGUUGAAACUAUUAAUCUCACGGGUAGAGUUUUGAAUAUCAAACUUAAGUACAUCUCUCAUGCAGCUGUUAUCUAACUGUGCUUCUGCCCACAUUUGCUUUUUAAGAGAAUUUGCUGCUUCCAGACGAUCCUGCAAAAGAAAUUUCAGUCAGAUCACAAAUUACAGACUCAAAAGUUGAUAAAAUGAAAACCAGACUUUACCUCGAGACUAGCUCUGAUGGAAUUUCCUUCAUUGGCAAUGCCGACUAAAGCAACAAGGGCCUCAAGGCGCUCUUCGACACUUAGAUGACAGUAUUCUCCUUCUGUAAGACCUAGAACCCAUGAUUUACCCUGCUUGCUAUCUUCAACCACAGCAUUAUCUUUACGCUGCUCACUAUGGCAUUGUGGUACAAUGCUCUUCAUACUGCUUGUAGGUGGAGAAGAAACUCCCUUCUCAACCUCACUCUUUACAUCAGCUUUAACAUCAGAGAACAUAAUCUCACCUCCCUUUUCAGACAAACCAUUAGCAUCACCAAGAUCAGCACUUUUUGAGGCACUUGGUAGAGUGGCUAAAUCAUCAACCUCGGGAUCCUCAUCAAUAUCACAUUCAAAGUCUUCAUCCUUUUCAAGAUCAUUCACAUCUUCUGGACCUGCUAAGCCAUUUUCAAACGCCUUUAUUUUCUUCCUAGCUUCCGCGAGUAUUGCCUCUCCAUCCGCAGGAUCCUUCACGUAUGGAGCUCGUACACAAUAUGUUGAAGGGGCUAUUCUUUCGAAGAGCUUCACAUCUCUUGUCAAUGCAACAGAGAUGGAAGCCUCUGGCGUCUUGCUUGUUCUCAGGUCCCUAAGUCCAGAUUUCUGGAAAUGGAAAUCAUAAAAACUAAAUAAAUAAAACAUUUAUAUUUUUCAAUAAAAUUAACAGAGCAUAAUAUAGAUUAUAAAUAUACCUGAAUCUUGUCGGCAAGCUCUAUUACUGUCAGUCCCUUGCUUCCCUCAAGAGAGAGAACAUGAAAGGCAGCAAACUUGACAGUUCCAGGUGUCAACCGAUGCCUCGACUUGCGCGGAGCCAGCAACCCUUUCUCCAGCAUUGAUGCAAAAGCACUUUCAGAUGCUGAACCACUGCGAAGAGUAGAAAUGAUAUCUUCACAGCCUUUAGCCUGCAAAACACAAUCAAACUAUUACGAAAAAAAUCAAAAUCACCAGAUGCUGAACCACUGCGAAUAAGUACCUCAUCCUUUUCACCAGUAUGGGUCACACGGGAAUUACUUUUCUUGAGCCUAGGCCCAAAUCCACUUGAGAGUCCCAACUGGCGGAGUAUUUCAGGCCAUGUUAGUGGGUUCAAAUGCUUUUUCCAACUACGAAUGUCAAAGCCCCAUGCAUAAGCCUGAAGAAGAAAAAGGAAGCAUUAGGAAAGAGGAAGAGUAAUAUGUAUUAUACAUACAGAGAAAGAGAAAGUUACCCCUUCAACUAUCUGCGGAUGACCACCCUCAGGAUUGGCUGUAGUAUAUUGGUUAUUUCCAAUGCCACUAUAAGGUGUUCUAGCAACAUCUUCAAUAUCUCGUAUUAUUGAUCUCAGAAGAGUAAUAUGUAUCUCCCCCAGCAACCUUGAGUCCUACAAUAGGAUAUACAUAUAUGUAUCAUAUACAGAGCAAGAACAAUGGAACGAAGGAAACAACAGUAGAACACGAGAAAAUAAGGGAAUCUCAGAAUGAGUUGUAAAGAAAGACUUACAUAUUCAUGCAAAGCCUGAAUAAACUCAUCCAGGGUAAAAGGCCAUAGGUCGAGAACAUCGGAAAAUGAUAUUAGGAAUCUCCAAACCUAAAAAGCAACCACAAUGUUAGAAGGUUGACAUGCGAAAUGGUCACAAAACGUGACAAACAUUUCAACUGGUUCCAAAUUUGUCUCAUUGUUCUGAUCCAAAAUUAUUCUGAUGGUACUAAUUUCAGGUAAGAGACAGUAUAGGGCAGAAAGAAAAGAUCAAUAGAGCAUACCAUUAAAAGGUUUCCAACAUUUUCCUUGGAAUCCUUCCAUGGAGAAAUGGUAAACGGCAUUUUCAAUUGCAAAGCUUUUGGUGGAAAUGUGCUCAGAGAAUCUGAAAAAGUAGAAUAGCUACGAUGAAUUGCAAGAUCCAGAAAGAAUACUUAGCUAAUUGAGUAAGAUAUAAGCAAAUUACUUUGACCAUCUUGAUUUCGAUAAGUAUAUGGAGAAAGAUCGAAUGGUAUGAGACAUCAAAUCAUUAAGCUACUACCCAAUCUAGAGGGCAAUGUUUUUAUAGCAAAAUAAUCAACUCAAUAUUUCUUGGCAAUGUUCUAAGAUGCUACAACCAAUAUGGUAUAUCUGGGACAAUAUAAUUCAGAAGCUAUACAUUGUUCAUAUUUUGUAAAGCCUACAGCCUAAGUACACCAUCAGGGUUGUGAUUACCAAAUCCAGUACUUGGCUAAAUCAAUAUCAUAGUUUGGCAGAGAGAGCAUACCUCUAUACAGGUCAAGGUUUUGUAAUGUGUCAUGAUCAAGCUGUAUAACCGAGGACAAUCCUUUGCUACUAGCCGCCAAAUCCAUCAGCUCUAGCUGCUCAUCUUCAAUUAGAUCCAUAGCCUCUUUUGCAAUUCUACGUGCAGUUGCUUUCUCAACUGCAAUCUUGCGUCUUAUAGCCUCUUUCUCUCGGCGAAUCUCCUCUUUUUGCUUAUUUUUCUCCGCCUUUAACAUUCGGACAGAGAGAUAAGUCUAGUUUUCUCAAUCUCAGCAUACUUAAAAAGUUUAUAAUUUGCAGAACUUACCCGUUCAUUUUCUCUCUGUAGAAACUUUUCUCUUCUUUCCAUUUCACGUCGCUGUUCACGCUGUAACCUCUCCUCUUCUUUAAUUCUUUCACGCAUCAACCUCUCUUCUUCUUUACGCCUCUCACGCUCAUACCUUUCCAUCUCUUUUCUCAUCCGUUCUUCAUUCUGAGGACACAAGCUUCAGCUCAUCAAUAUGGCUUACAAGGGAUACCAAUAAAAAGACAAUAAGACCAUUCUAUAACUGAAGUGAAAUAAAUACCCUUUUCCUCUGAAGUUCUAGUUUCUCAAGAUCCUUUUGUCCACUCCCUCUUCCGAGUCUACCAUCGUUAAUCUGCGAGAGUAACCAAAGAACAACAUUACGACAAGAACACAUCUUGUACGCAAAACGGGGAUGAAAUGGAAGUUGGCACAGGAAGCUACCUUUCCCUUCCUAUGCACAUCAUUACUCAUACGCACCCCGUCAGACAACAAAUACGGAUCUUCAGCUCGGAGGCCUGAGGAGUCUCUCUCCAGCAAGAAGCUAUCACCACGAGCUGAUGGGAGAAUGGGGCUAGGCAUGUCUUGCUGAGAUGUAGAACAGUUACGAGAUGAGUUUCCAUAGGACUUUGGUAAAGGCCCAUUCCCCUGCAUAAACGAUGAACUCCUAGGCCGUGAUAUUUCGUAGUCCACACCACGCGAAUGACUUUCAGAGUACCGCCCGUACAUAUCAGGUGUAAAGGAAGACGGAUCGUUCAGAGAUUGUUGCUCAUGGAAAGCACUGGUGGCAGCUUGAGACUAUAAUAAUCAACAAAAGCAAAUAAGUUCAACAAAGUAGUUAUAAAAAAGAAUAUAAAAUGGCUUCAAUGUAAUCAACAAAGCGAAUAUCAUCUUUCUAACAUUUGAUCAGAGAAUAAUAGCCGCCAAAAGAUUAAUCGGUCAGCUUAUAUGCACUGAGAACUCUUAGAAUUAGUCCUACCAUUACAUCAGUUUAACAACCUCUUUAAUUUAUCAUGUAAAAUAUUUCAAGCUAGGCAUGAAGGUAAUAGCUAGGUUGUAUAUAGUUUUGUUGUAUUAUAUAACUCAAAAAAACAAAGGAAUUAUUAGAUAGUAAGGAAACUAACUCUUCGAGGACGGACAUCAAGUGGCUCAUACAUUUUGCUCUCAUAUGGAUGACCUUGGUGCGUCUGCAUUGCUACAAUAGUUUGUCCACCACCACAAAAAGAGAGAGAAAGUUAAGAGUAGGAACCAUCAAAGCAACAAGAGACCAAUGAUAUCGCAAUAGCUUCAUACCUAUAGGUGUCCCAAAAGCACCGGGAGGCAAAGGAUCAAACUCCAUUCCAAGAGUAGGUCCAUCAUCUCUCAAAGGCUCCCCUAACUGAGCUUCAAUGCAGGCAACAGCUCUACGAACCAUCACAGACGACCGUGGCGGCGGCUGUUCGUACCCUGCGCUCCCCAUUGUCUCGUACUCAGCACGAGAGUUACUACUACCACUCGCAAACUCCCUCCUGGGCUCCGAGUAAGGGCUGCAGCCAGAGCCAGAGCCAGAGCCAGAACCGGAAUCAGAUCCGGAGUCCAGUUCAGCAGCAGGUAAGGACAAAGCAGGAACAGCAGAAGCCGGUUGAACCGGGGCCGGUUUGGGAGUUUUCUUGACCUGACCAUCCUUCUUGUCCUUUAACCUCCUGUGACAAAACCACAUCUGUAACUGCCGAUCUGACAAAUCAAGCUUCUCAGACAGCUCAGCCCUCGUCGCCUCCGAGGGAUACGUUUCCUCUGCUCUCAAACAAAACAAUUCAGAUGGAAUCAAAAUUACAAAUUAGAUUUGGAUGAGGAGAGGAACCUGAAUAGACUUGCUCGAGGGUUUGGAGCUGAAAGGGAGUCUUCAUCUGACGCUUAGGCUUGGAGGAGGGAGAGUCCUUUGAAUUGGAAGCAUCAACGACCUUCUUCAUCUUCUUAUUCUUAUGGUUCGAAUCAGCUACGCUCCUCAUCUGAUUCUCUUCUCCAUCGGACUCCAUGAGAAAGAGAGAGAGACGGCCGCGCAAGGAACAAAUCACCCAAAAGAGAAGAACAACGAACAAUAACAAAAAGCUAAGCUAGGGCUUUCUUACAAAACAAAUAACCCUGAUCCCCUUUCGAUUGAGAUUACUAACUAGUAACCCCAAAACAAAAACAAAAACAUUAUUGUUGUAAAAAAAAUAAAUAAAUAAAAAGGUGGAUGGAAGGAAGGAAGGAAUAUAUAAGAAUGAACAAUAAUAAAAUCCGCAAGGGAAAAACAACAACAGGGCUCCUACUCGUACCACUCAUCUUUAAUUUCAACCUCCCUCUCUUAUAUUUCUUUUCUUUUUUUCACUCUCUCUCAAUUUUAAUCUUUUGUUUCUUAUAAGAAAAAUUGUUUUUUUUUUAUAAAUUAAAAGAAGGAAAAAAAAAAGGAGAGUAGAGUAGUAGAGAGAGUCGAGGGAUGAUAUAUGCUACAGCGAAUCGCGUGUGUUUCUUCUGCCGUUGAUUGUGUUUAUGAAGCUCCUUCAUGAUGCAAUCUUCAUCACUCUUUCGACUUUUUCCUUGUUUAUUCCUUUUUCUAUUUUUAUUUUAAUUUAAUAUAAUUUAUAUUCUUCAAAGGCUUUUACGGGCCUGGUGGUCUUGUCUUUCAGAUCCGCUCUCGCAGGUUGCAAGAGCUUUUCUUCUCCAGUUUCUUUGUCGCCCACUUGCGUUGAACAUAAACAUCAUGCCGUUCAGGUGAAAGAGCGUGAGAAGUUGAUUCAAGAUGCUGAAACUCAGAUCCUUGAUUUGCACUCUGCUUCUUAUAGUUUCGAGGUUGGAUUUGGUUAUAAUUUAGCUGAAAUGCAUUAGAAAAUGAAAAGGAUAUAUCUAUGACUAUGAGUUUAUAAACCCUUUGAAACAUAUGUACGGGUUUUAAUUAUGUUUCCUUGUCAUGAUAUAAGGUCUUUGUCUCUGUUUGGAAUCAGUUUCUUAGUUGAGAUUUAAUACUUUGAAAUCAGUUUAAUUGCUAACACUUGCUACUUGAUCACAGAGCGGUUUACCUUUGGUCCAGGAGAGGAUAAGCGAGUUGGAAGAAGAGGUCUGUUCAGCUACUCUCUUUUUUUUAGAUCAGCAACUUCAACUCCACUUAUAUAAAGAUUAAUUAACAGGGUUGGCAUUGCUAGGUUAAGCUCCUAUGGGCUGCCUUGAGAACAGCCAACUUUGACCUUCACGUUUUAGAGGAUAAGGCAAGAGAUGCUGAGCGUCAAGUUAAGGCCACAGCUUUCGAAGUUAAACAGGUGGUUUAUUCCCUUGUGUUUGACUUUUUACCCAUUCCUUUUAUACUUUAGGGGUGAGUCUUUUUGGUGCUGUGGUAGCAAAUGGAAUCUGAUUGAUUCUAAUAUGGUUAAUUGUAUCUCAAUGAUUUGUCAUGUUGUUACUGUGACAAAUUGCUUCAUUCUUUUUUUAAUCAUAUAUAGAUGACCGAAGUUGUUACGGAGCAGUGGAUUCAAGUUCAGCAUCUUGAGCAGGUCUUUUAAGUUACUGCUUUUAAGUUUUUCGUUUAUUGCAGGUGAAAAUAUAUUAGUGGUGAGCAAAGUAGUGUAUCGAUUCACAUCGCUGAUGUUACUUCUUUUUAUUUGUUUUUGUUGCGUCUUGAAGAUGAAAGAAUUCAAUAACCGAAGGAAUCACGUUCCUAGCAGAUGCACUCUCUUGAAGGUAAAAUCUUGAAUACAGUUCUCGGACUUGCAUGAAAUUUUGAAGAACAGAAGCUUAUACCUUUGUUUAGUCAUCUGAUUUAUCCUUUGUGUAUCUGUAUUUUUAGCUCAUGAGUGACAUCCGCUGGGAGGUAAAGAAUGCCCUGUCUCAGUUAAGAAGCCUCUGGGCAGCUGUUACCAAAUACCACCACCAGGUUUUGUUUUUAAAAAUCUUCGUCCUAUCCAUAAUUUAGAUGGAACGAUUAUGCUUAACCACGCUUUGCUUUGAUUCUUUGUAGUUGCAAGGCUUCAUCAAGCAUGAGAUGGAAAGAAACCAGAUCACAUCAGCUCUUGCAAACAGUGAAGUUGUGUUUUUUAUGGUAUGUGGGCUGUUCUUUUCAUAUCUAGUAAAUGUGUUAAGUCCAUGUCUUAUUCGUCUGAUCCUUACACUAAUUAGUAAAACGAAAUCUCCAGGCGUCUGCAUUGAUUACCUUCCCGGUGUUUGGAGCAUGGCUCUUAUUCUCUGCCUAGUUUUGUUCCUAGAAGACAUGAUCAACUCAAGCGUCAGCCAUUUUAACAUUGGUUUUACUUCUGUUUGUAGCUACAAAUAUUGUCUAGUCAUUGAGAUCCCUAUAGUCGGGUGAAUCUCUGGUUUGAACCAGUUAAUUUUAGGAAUGUUGCACAAUUUUGUCAAAGUUCAGUUUUUGGAGUAAGAAUAUUUUUAAUCCAAAAAGAGACAACCAAAGAGAUGCAGACAAAAUCAUUCCUCGCUCGUUGUUAGCUAGCUGUAAAUUGUAAAUAAGAAGCGUAAGGCUUUUCAGGGUUCAACGUGAAAUGAUUUCAACUACGUAGCGGUAUUAUCUGUGAGGAUUAGUCCAGGACCGGCCAAAAGAUAUAGAGGCUAUAAAUAUUGUAAGAGGAAUCUUAAUUAGACAAUCUACAAUUUAGGGAUCAUAUGACAUAUGUAUAGUAACGCUUUAAACCUUGGGGGCUAAAACACUGUUCUUGCAGAAUAUUAGGAAGAUUUGUUUGUUACUCAUGGUAAUUCCUGAGAAUGCUGAUUUUCACUAGUUAUGGUUUUUUUAGAUCCACAACAAGCCAUAAUUACGUUCAAUCUGCUCAAACUACCCACUUAUAGCCUCAAUUUAUCAUGUGGUUUACUGGGGUUGGUUGCGAUGAUAAGUACUAGAAAUUCUUUUUAGUAGAUUCGCUUUUGGAGUCAAUCCAAAUUUUGCUCAUUUAACUCUUUUUUUUUACCUACCAACAAUUAGUAGUGAAGUUAUUUUAGUCAAUUUCUCACUUCAGUUUUAGGGUCUGACUGGUUCAAACGCAGCGGUUGCGGUUGCGGCUGCGGGCGUUUGCGAAUGCGGAUGGUUGCGGUUUCUAGCGGUUUUAAAAGAUUUUCGCAACCGCCCGCAACCGCAAACGCUAUCUGGAACCAGCUUUUGAAUUUAAGAGGUUUGGAGCGGUUUGAAGCGAUUUGUAGCGGUUUGUAUGAUUGUUUCGAACCGCUGUCAACCGCUAUCAACCGCAAAAGCUGCGUUUGCGGGUGGUAGCGGGAAACCAGUCAAGCUCUUAAUCAGCUAUCAUAAGUUCAAGAUGGUUUACAUAUAUGAUAGGUUUAAGUUUUUGUUUGAUUUUGAACAUAAAAAAUUAAAAACAGAUAUAAUUAUUAAACAUAAAAAAUAAUGAUUAUGUAAUAUAGAGAUAUAAACCAUUAAAACACCAGAACUAUAUAGUCAUUUUGAAGGACUAGUUGAACUCAAUAGAUUAAUGAAAUUUAAAUAUAAUUAUUGUAGCAUGGAUAACAAGAUCUUAGUAUACCUUAAAUUUUAAACAAAAAAAAAAGUAUACCUUAAAUUGUAAUAUAUCAUAUGUUUUGAAGAGAAAAGAAAAAGAGAGGUUUGCUUGCUGCAUGGUCCUACACGGCUCGACUACUCCCACCACACGACCUCUUUUGUAUGUCCCAUUCCGUUAGUCACGCCACAUAAUCUCCACCUCCAACAUUUUCUUAGUCUUUGAUUGAUUAAUUGCAUUAACCAUGUUUUUCUUUUAUAUUUUCUAUUUUUCUCACCCAUUUGUUUUCUAUGUUAUUGCAGAUCUUCUUCUUUGUUUCCUUUUAUUAUACCCUUUUAAUAAUGAAUACUUCUUUAUUUUUUGAAAAAGGAUAAAGGUUAGGGACACUUUAUUCUUCCCAUUUAUAUACUUUUAGCUUUUUUGAGUGGUUUGUCUCUCAAUAAGUCUGAAAUCGAGAAAUACCUGCUCUCUCAUACUCAUCUCCGCAGACCACAAAUUAGUCAAUGCUGCUUGAAAUUGUUUAGUAACGUUUGUCUCUUUUCUCAUUUUCCGUUGACAAUCUCUUGUUUGUUUAUACAAAUUCCCAGUAUCCUAUCAUCCAUCUAAUUUCAAUAUUUGUAGAUAAAUGAUGUAUUAUCUACUUACAGCGAAACCUAACUAUUCAGAUGAAAAUUGGAAUUAUAUAUGAUUCUCUUUUAAAAGUUGCAUAUCUUAGAAGUGCAUAUCUAUGGAUGAUAAAAGGAUAGAAAUGAAGAAUUGUAGAGCCAAGAAAUUAAGUCACACACCCAAUAUAGAGACUAGAGAGUAUAGUGGCCUAGAGUCACAUGAUGUGUGUAUUGGUGUCUCCAUAGUGAUCAGUGGGAUGCCCCAAUCCCACUCACUCGCUCUCCCUCAAUCCUCGCAUUAUUCCUCGGCCUCUAAAUUAUCCCGCGUUGCUUCCUUUUCUUUUAUAUUGUUUCUUUCUCCUUUUCUUGGUAAAGUAAAAUCGCCAAAAAAUAAGCAAAGAUUUGUUUUGCGUGAUAUACUGAUAUAUAAAAACAAAAUUUUCAAAUUUAUGCAAUAUAAUUCAGUAUUUCGAUGAAAACCCCAAAUUUUAGAAACCCUAAGUUCAUUAUUUUGAUGCAUUAUUUGUCCUAAGUAAGGACCCAUACUUGUUGGUUUUAAUUCUAUUCUAUUUGUGUCACUGGGUAAAAAUAUUGAAGGCAGUCAAGUAACAAAGACCUUUAGAAUUUGUCAGAUAAAUCGAACAUUUUAAUUUUUUUAAGUGUCAAAAAAAUCCAAAAAAAAAAAGAGAAUCCGUUUUUUUUUUUACAAUUUCUGCAUUUAAAGAUUGAAUUAUUUGGCUUAUAUAUUCUUACCACCUAUCAAGAACAAAUUCAUAUACUUCAGAUGUAAAUGUAAUCGUGAAAAUGUUAAUCGGACCAAACCAUUAACUAUUCUUGUUUUUUUCAUUUCUAGACAGCAAGAAUGAUUAUGACUACGUGAUGAUAAAAUUACUGGUGCAUUUCAAAUCAGCUUUAUAUAUAAAUGUGGUUUUGUCUGACCAUCCGAAAUUUUAAUCAUAUAUAAUUUUGGGUUUGCUUGAAGAUAGGGAAAGUUGAUGACACCUUUAAAAAACAUAACUAUAAAGUAAUUUUACAUAAGAGAGCAUCUCUAGGUUGUCUAAUGAUCAACAUGACACUAUUAUGUCGAUUAAUUAAGGAGGCUGAAUUAGAGAGUAAAAUGUCCAUAAACAACACAAAAUUAUCUAGCUUUUCAAUGUUUACUCAAAAUACUGACAAAGACGUGUUCCUUUUAUCCUCUAUGAUUAUAAUUAAGAAAAUAAACAAUGUUGUUAGGAAUAACCAUGUGGACUGGCCUAGCUAGUGCCCAAAGAAUGAUAUGUAAUUUUGACAGUUUUCAUAUUACAUCUUAUGCCAGUAAAUUUGCUAUUAUAAUGAUAUGUAAUAUUUUACACAAAUAGAAAAAUUGGGUUUGAUGAAUCAUAAUAUUCUUAUGGUCUAAGAUUCAUCAUAUAAAUGGUAGUGACUUAUACGCUUUGAUUUUAAUUAUUGUCGAUGUCUGAGAUUUUUUAAAAUACUGGUGAAAUACUAUUUGCAUAAAGGGAAAAUUAUAAGAAUGUGUUUUACGUCAUAGAUAAAGAGUUGAUUGACUCAUCUCUUUUAUAUGUUAAUGCAAACACCAGUUUAAGUGUGAGGUUCCUAGCAAAUCAUAUUACAGAUGAAAUUCAAAGAAGAAGAUGAGAUAAAAUUAAACAAAAUUAUGUUCUAAUAAACGAGUAACCUUACCGCAAUUAGAUUAAUAAUAUAAGAAUAUGAAUAUUGAUACCAACCAAAACUAAUAUGAGGAGUUGAGUUUUGGUUAUAACUCCUCAGCUACUAAGAAACAAUGAUAUGAUGACAUGGGUGGAGUAAAACAAAAAAAGGGACAAGAGGUCCAUUGAUUUGAAUAUGCCUCUCUAUCUAGUAUCUACUCCUAAUCCAUAACUGCCUUCAACAAAACUACCAAAAUAAGAUCCAUGUUUUCAUCUCAACGAAAUUGGUCGACGUUAAAAACUAAGUGGUUGAUUACAUUUUAUCUUAUAAACUAAUCUUUUAGGUAAAAAAGCUGAGCUACCACUUUGAAAAAUCAUCUCAUCCUACUGGACCCACAAUCAACCAUUUUAGUCCCCAUUUGCACCUAACGACGUCAAAUUAAAAACACAAAAAAGUCCACAAUUCAUAAAGAAAAAAGAAGAAAAAAAAAAAACUCAAAGCGCUUCUUUCUAUAUAAGCACACUAGCUCUCAAUAAAUCCACACUAUCACAGUCUCUUCUCUUCUCCCUAUCACACUACACUACACAUCAUGGCUUUCUCCACUGGAAGCUCUCUCUUCGUCUGCUUCACAACACUUGUUCUUCUCUCCACUCAAAUCAAUGCAAGAGAGAGCUACUUCUUUGGCAAAUUCCACCGAGAAUCCCCCAAAGACCAAAACCCUAACAAUGUCCUCCCUCUCGAGACCAGCGAGAAAACCACAGUAGAAGAAUCUUUCCCCAGCAAGAAAGAGCAAGAACAAGAUCCCACGUUUGUCCCCGAGUCCGAAAACGGCUAUGGCUUGUAUGGUCACGAGACCACCUACAACAACAACAACAAAGAAGAGUUCAACAACAACAACAACAAGUACGAUGAAAACUUCAAGGAAGAGUUCAACAACAACAAGUACGACGAAAACGUCAAGGAAGAGUUCAACAACAACAAGUACGAUGAAAACGUUAAGGAAGAGUCAUUCUCUGAGAACAAUGAAGACAAGAGAGGUAUCUACAACUCCAACGCUUACGGAACGGAGCAAGAGCGUGAAACGCCGUACAAAGGUUACAGCCAUAACUUGGAGAGACAAGGCAUGAGUGACACAAGGUUCAUGGAGAAAGGUAACUACUACUAUGACCUUUACAACGACAGAAACCACGGCCAUUUCUACCGGAAGCCUCAUCAGAAAAGCCCUGCCGGUUACUAUUCUUCUCAGGAGACUGGGAAUAACUACGACCAGUCGUACAACAACUACAACAACGAGGAGGAGAAGAGCUUCAAGGAUCAGUACAAUUCCAAGUGGGAGAAGAACAUGAUGAACAAACAGCCUGAAGAGUUUGUUGAGGAGCAAGGAGACCAGUUCAAGCCUUGAUGAAGAAUUGAUGUUUGAUUUCCUCUCAAGAUCAUUACACUCUUAAAAAGUAUUUUCUUUUUAUUUCAACUAAGUUAUUUUACUUCUGGUUGAUUAGUCAAACUAAGUCGUUGUUAUCAUUGCAAGUGAAAAAGGGAAAGGGGGGUUUUGUGUUUUUUUUUUCUUUUAGUUGAAAUGGGUUUGCUUUUUAUGGGAUUUUGAACUUUGAUGUUUGCGUUUGCAUAUAAUAUUCGAAGAAAAGAUAGUAAAAUAUAUGGUGCUGCUUUAUGUUAUUUUCUUAUGUUAAUCACCUUUGGUUAUUUUGUUUAAAAAGAAGUUGAUUAAAGGACUAUGGAUUCAUAAUUUUAAAGGGACAAAACGUGACUGCUUUUCAUGAUUUAUAAUGGGGGACAUGGUGAUGCCCAUUCCCUCUUGCAGAAGUGCAAAAGAAACAUUAAUAAUUACUUGCACACCCAAUCCAAUAUUUAGUUUUAUGAAUACAUUUAUAUAGGAUUAAAAUCUACAUAUUAUAGAUACCAAAAAGAAUCGGUUUGUUCUGAAUGUUAGAUGGGAUGGGUACAUCAACAGUUAUCAACCGGUAUUAAUUACUGGUCCUAAGGGUGUAAAUGUGUAAUCCCAAAUCAUAGACAUACACUAUUGCAUUCGGCCUUUGUACUUACAUAACUUAGCUUUAACUGGAUACUUUGUCUUUUCUUUUUUGAACAAGACAUUGAAUACUUCGUUAGAAAUUAAAUAGGUAGUCCUUAAAUAUAGGAUGCGUUUUGGAUUAAUGGUGUUAUAUGGGUGGAAAAGACAACAGAAACGCCGUGACGAGUAAAAGACAAAGACACUUCAAAGGCACUUAGCAAUGAGAAUCCACCUCUUGACUAGGAAAAGAAGACUCCCAAUACCGUUAAUCACGGCUAACAUAAAGGACAAACUUAGUUCCCCUUUUUCUUUUUUUUUUCCAGGAUCUAUAUAUUUUACUCUAUUUUUUUUCUGAAUAUAUUAGUUGAUUUUUAACCAUAUCAAUAUGUAUGUUAGUAUAUAAAUCAAAUCCAAGAAUAUUGUAUACCAUAUAAUAAACUGUCUUGCUAUAAUUGUUUGCUACUAUAACUAUAUUUUAUUUACGUAUUCAUUCAAAUAUUAUUAAUUAAUCAUGAUAUCAAUUUGUAUUAAGAAAAUUGCAUUAGCUUCUAUUUAUUCUUUUUUAUAAAAAGAGCUUACUUCUACUUCUUUAUUAAUGAUAAAUAACUAACUAAAAGAAUGAUAUGACAUUUUUCUGCUAAUGGGUUUUAUAAUCGUACGAGAAAAAGGGAAUAUAUAACCCAUUUUUUACCUAAAUGUGUUACAAAAAAAAUUAAAAUUGCUGACAUAAGUUUCUUUCUGGGAUGUAAGAGAAACCUUAGAUGAAUCAUAGGUUUUGAGAAAACUUCUUAAACUAAUGCCAUUUGCAACACAAUUUAUUCGUAUAUAAAAUUACAUAAUGCUCAAUCCGUGAUGUAUUGGUCUAACUAUUGGCACCCUCAAGAAAGGCUUAUAGAUGUAACAUAGGCUUUGAACAUAUAAAAAAUUGGUAUAUAAAGAAAUUAAAAUUGUUUGAAGUAUUUGUGGACUUGGAAUAUCAUAACCUCCAUUAUAGAAUCUAAUAUAUUAAAACUGAAGUACAUUUGGAGAAUCACCCUUAUUUCAUCUUAGUAUUUAUCAACUUGUGCCACUGAAAUUUAAACCAUUAUUUGUUUAUUUUAUUAAAGACGUUUUUAAUUUUUAUCAAAAACAAUGAUUAGUUUGUUAUGCAAUUAAUACUCCAAUAUUAAUAAGACUUUCCCUAAAAGUAGACAAUCAGUUAAGAAAAAGAUCCCGUAAAUGAUACUAACAUUUAAUAGUUUAUAACCAUAAUUUACAUGCAACCGAUUUUAGAUAUUACCUUACACUUAUUCUCCAUUAGUGCAUCUCACGUAUGUAUCUACAUAAUAUAAACUUCUGAGGUAAAUCAAAUUGAUUGUAUUAUUCAUUAAAAAUAGAUCAUCAAUUAAUUGAAAUUAAUUAUCAUAUUUCACUCUUGCCAUCUAAUAUAAUCAAAUUUGUCGAUUGAAUAGCAUAUAUUAUGUAACACACCGUCUUUAUUCAUUCUGAUAGUUAGUGAUUUGUGUAUCAGUUAGAUUCUGUUAAAGGGCUCUGCUUGGUGGUUCGUUCGUUCACCUUCUUAUGUUUGGUUGCUCAAUAUAAAUCAUAGAAACAAAAAAAGAUCGUCAUAUCUCCUUACCUUUGAUAAUUUGUGUAUUUCCAAAUUCUAUUUACGCAUUGCAGAUAAUCUAAUUUGGGAUUUUGUAUUACUUUUACCAUUGAUUAUAUGCUAUUGCGAUGGACCUAAAUUCUUCACCCCAGCAUGAAGAAGACGAUAGUCCUUCUAUUAACAGACGCUUUGAACCCCAAGUUGAGUCUACUGUUAACAAAUAAUCUAACUAAACUGUAUUCGGAUAUUGUAAAUAUUUGGAUGGAAUUCGGAUUCAGAUCUUUCUGGGUCCAAAUAAAUUUGUAGAAACCUAAAAAUAGGAUAACUUAUGUGUUUAAAAUUUUCUUUAAACAAUUUAUAAAAAAUGUGAAAAUUAACAACCGCACAGACGUGCGGAUCAAGUUCUAGUUAUGUAAUUAAAUUGGAGAAGCUAUGAGUAACAUGAGGAAUUAGAAAUCUAAAUAAAAUGUUUGUAAUGAGAUUAGACAAAGAUCAUGUUCCAGAGUCAACAUGCAUUUAUUUGGAGUGAAAGGGCAUAUGAUUUCUCGUUGUGGACGAGAAAAAUGACUAGUUAAAAAGAUUGCGAGGUGGACGUUAGAAAAUUAAUCUGAAAAAAAAAAUUGAAUAUGGAUCUAGAGAAGUUUCUAUGGCAUGUUAAUAAUGGUUAUAAGAAAAGGAAAUUUUGCACUCCCAAUUGUUGGAUCAUUUGGAAUUCAAGCUAGAGAUUCGUUAGAUCAAGAAAUUGCAAAUGUUUUUUUAUAGGACAUAUACCAUUUAAUUUUUUAAGAAAUCCAAGCUAUCAUUGGUCCAAAAAACGACAUAUUUGGACCUGCACUUUUAUCUAGUGCGACGAUUCGUACCCGCACAUUAGAAGUUUAGAACUAUGCGCUUAUAUACUUUCACUAUGGUUUCAUCAAAUAUGCAUAUCUGAAAUAUAGAAAAGGUUGUUAAUUCAUAGCAAACAGUGUUAUCUACCUGUUACAGAUGAUGACUGGACUGUUGAGUCAGCAACGAGGAUAGAAAACAACAUUGUUUAAGAAUGGGUUUGUGGGCAAAAAAAAAUUAACCCUAAAUGACUUCGUUUUAGAUUAGAGCUUAAGAUAUCUGUUUCUUCUUCCUUUCUCUUCUCUGGCAGAGUCAAGGUUCAAAGUAAAAACUUUAGUUCUCUAAAAUACGAAGCUUUUACACACAAUCAUGAAUGAGGCUUAUAGGAAUCACAAUUUGAAAGAAAAAUAUUAGUUAUUGUAUCUAGGCUCUCUGAUUUCCCUUAAAAGGAAGUAAAUUCUAGAAUUAGAGUUUUCAAAAUUCAGAGGUUUUUCAGACAUUAUUUUUCAUCAGUUCCAUAAAUCCUAAUCAAUGACCCUUCUCCACACCUACAUGUACUUGGCAUCCCUCUGUCCUUUUCACAUUUGUGUCUCCAAUUUCCUGCAACAUUCAAAGAAUCAAAGGCAGAGCGGAAGAAAAUAAGAAAAGAAACUAACGAGAAUUUGGGCACUUUAACCUAUGAAUUAAUUUUUCAAUCGAUACAGAGGAGGAGUUUGGGUUUGAUGAAGAAGCUAUUGAUUUGCGGUCGAAAACCUAAAACCUUUGAGUCUGUCGCGGGGGAAGAGAAAGGAAGAAGAAACAGAAAUUUUAAGCUUUACUCUAAAAUAAAGCCGUCUUGAGUUAUUUUUCUUUUUGCCCACAAACCCAUUCUUAAACGACGUCGUUCUCUAACAACAACAACAAAGAAGAGUUCAACAACAACAACAACAAGUACGAUGAAAAAUUCAACGGUGAGACUUUCUCAACUCCAAGCCUGAGCGAGACCGAAGAGUCUUACAACAACUACGAGGAGAACUACCCGAAGAAGACCGAGAGCUACGACAACAACCGUUACAACAACGAAGAGUUCAACAACAAGUACGAUGAAAACUUCAAGGAAGAGUUCAACAACAACAAGUACGACGAAAACGUCAAGGAAGAGUUCAACAACAACAAGUACGACGAAAACUUCAAGGAAGAGUUCAACAACAACAAGUACGAUGAAAACGUCAAGGAAGAGUUCAACAACAACAAGUACGAUGAAAACGUUAAGGAAGAGUCAUUCUCUGAGAACAAUGAAGACAAGAGAGGUAUCUACAACUCCAACGCUUACGGAACGGAGCAAGAGCGUGAAACGCCGUACAAAGGUUACAGCCAUAACUUGGAGAGACAAGGCAUGAGUGACACAAGGUUCAUGGAGAAAGGUAACUACUACUAUGACCUUUACAACGACAGAAACCACGGCCAUUUCUACCGGAAGCCUCAUCAGAAAAGCCCUGCCGGUUACUAUUCUUCUCAGGAGACUGGGAAUAACUACGACCAGUCGUACAACAACUACAACAACGAGGAGGAGAAGAGCUUCAAGGAUCAGUACAAUUCCAAGUGGGAGAAGAACAUGAUGAACAAACAGCCUGAAGAGUUUGUUGAGGAGCAAGG